Molecule: long non-coding RNA, 81366 nt
Filed under: Musa acuminata (dwarf banana)
Lineage: Eukaryota; Viridiplantae; Streptophyta; Magnoliopsida; Zingiberales; Musaceae
Description: long non-coding RNA (MACU_LNC004885)
Rfam family: Small nucleolar RNA R16 (bases 5819-5905)
Source: RNAcentral
UUUUUUCAAAAGGUUUGUUAUGCUAGGAUAUUAGAUUUGAAGCGGAAGUUUCUUGAAGCUGCACUUCAUUAUUAUGGUAUUUCCCAGAUUGAACAACGUCAAAUUGGAGAUGAGUAAGUUUACUUACUGAUAUUUGUAGAUUAAAAUUUGGGAUAAAAAAUUGAUCUUAUUGAUGACUUACUGGCAAUGAUUAUUCUCUAAAUCUAUGUUUUGUCUAUUUCAACAGAUAUACUGUAAUUUAUUUCUAUAGUACUUAGGCUUCCUUUUCUUAUUGCUGUCUUUACUUUAUUGGCAUUGCAUAUUUCUCAGCAACUUUUAACCCUUCCUAUUGCCCUUUUUUUUUUGUGAUUUUUCUUUGACAUAUAUAGUUAUAUACUUAUAUUAUGUGUUUGCAUAAAUGCAAUAUUUAGAGGAACUCUCCCUGGUACAGUAAGGUUUGCUUUGUUGCUACCUGUAUAUUGUGUUUGAACUGUUGAAGUGGCCUCUUCAUAUGAUGUGGUGAGGCUGCAUACAGUUGAUCCAUCAGACCGCAAAUGAUGGAGCCCUAUGUGCUUUAUUGUUUUCCAGUAAGCACCCAGUAGUAUACAUGUAUAAAAUGUGCUGUUAGAUUUUUUUUUGAAGUGUUUGCAAGGUUUAAUGAAUAUUGGUUCACAUGCUUUUUUCAUUUUUCUUUCUUCUUCUUAUAUUCAACUGUUCUUACCAGGUUAUUUGGUCUAUAAUGCAAAUUUUGUAUAAUUGGAUCUCAGGGAGAUUGAUGAGGAUGCAUUGGAGCAAGCUCUCAGUGCUGCUGUGACGUGCACGAUAUUGGCUGCUGCUGGACCCCAACGGUCCCGUGUUCUUGCUACCUUAUACAAGGUAUCUACGUCACUUAGCAUGAAAUUUUAGUUCGUGCUGCAAAUAUAUUCCUUCACCUCAGUUAAUUGGCAAACUUAAUGUGUUUUCCGUGACUAUCGUCUCAAACUGUGAAAUUCAGCUUUAUCAAGUGAUUGACAUAAUUGAUGUAUUUAGUGUCAAUUUUUCCUCCUUUUGCAAAUUCAUAAUGGAGUUCCAUGGGACAUCAAAUUUGAUACUGUACUUUCCAUCAUCUUUUUUGUCAUGCCUUUUUGGCUAGCUAAAGCAUAACAUGUGGCUCCUGAUUAAAGCAAAGGCCACAAUACCAUUCAAGUUUUUGAACACCAAUACUGGUACCCAUAGUGGAACCUUACUGAACCAGUGCAUACUGAUUGAUAUGGUACAGAAUGCAUCGAUGUGCUAAUAACAAUUAUACAAAAAAAAAAUGAUUUGCUGAUACUGAUUUGUGUUAGUGGUACACUGGUCUAUUGGUAUGGUGUGUUUGAUAUACCACAAUGUUCGAAACCAUGCUACCAUUUAUUGAUUCAUGGUUUUCCUAGAAUUCUAUUUUAAAAAUAAAUUUCAGCAACAAUAGUAAAAGUACACUUUCGGAUCCUUCUUUUAGAUUGAAUGGACACUUGCUUUAAGGGAGAUUGUGUGAUCUGGUCAUCCUUAUCAAAUGUACAUAGCUAGGAUAUGGCUAUAUCGUUAUAAGCUUAAUUUGGGAUGAGCCAUUGUGAAAUGUGUUGAUGUUGUUCUUUCAAAGUAAAUUGUUUAGGGAGUUCAGCAAUUAAAAUCUUUUGUUAAUUAGAGCUGUUUCUUAUUAAGUAACAUGUUGCCUUAUGGAAUUUGAUAUUGUUGAAAACUUGAAAUUUCUCCUUUUCCUUGUCAGGAUGAGAGAUGCUCAAAGCUGAAAAUUUAUCCCAUUUUACAGAAGGUAGCCAUUGUUCCCUUCUUUAUAGGUCUCUUACUUUUGGUUAUAUCCCCACUACCUUUUUUCUACUCUAUUGAAGAAUUUUGAUUAAUAUAAAAUUAUAAAUGCUUUUAGGUGAAUCUUGAGAGAAUUUUGAGGAAACCGGAAAUUGAUGCAUUUGCUGAGGAACUGAAAGCACACCAGGUAAUCAUACUUUGCUUAUUCUUAGUUUUAUUUCAUUUUUCUUGUCUAUCUUGUUGAUAUGGUACAUUUUAUCUUUGUUGUUGAACAGAAAGCUCUUUUACCAGACAAUUUUACUGUGCUGGAUCGUGCAAUGAUUGAGCAUAAUCUUCUGAGUGCCAGCAAAUUAUAUACAAAUAUAAGGUUGAAAAAAAAGAUCAACUUUAUUCUGUAGAUUCUUAUUAACUUAUGAUUUAUUUUAAAAAUGAUUUUUUCUUCUGAUGAGCAGUUUUGAGGAGCUAGGAGCUUUAUUGGGUAUUCCUCCUCAAAAGGUUUGCUUUCUGUUAAUCAAAUUUAUGUUGCCAGCUGUGAUGCAGAUUUUUUGUUCUUUGAUCACUUGUGUUGUUAUGUAUUGUAAUUGUUCUUCUCGUCAUGUGCUGAAGUUUGCUUCUAUAUUAAUGUGUCAAUUCAAGAACUAUAUGCUUGAUAUCACGUGCUUGCUAGUAUGGCAUAACUCGUUAUUAUAUCAAGUCCCUUUCUUUAGUUGCCAAAAAGAAAUACAGCUGAAUGUUAUUUCCCCUUUUCAGGUUCUUGAUAUUGGCACAGAAAAUUUCCAGUGGUCAUAAAAUACUUCACUACUACACUUUUGUUUUCACCAGUUAUCCUUUGAGCAUUACGACAUGACUACUAUGCCAUAUUACAGUUAGCUGGUUCUCAACUCUUGAUUCUGUUACCUGCAAUAGCUAUAUGAUGUUAAAGAGUAUAGUGAUCAAUUUCAUUCACUGCUGAUUGUCUUGAUUAUCAUUGUUAUCCACAGCCUUCUUUCAUCAAGAUGGUUUAGUUAUGUUAUAGAGCAUAACUCAAAAUCAAGAGGGAAGUCUUUUGGCAUAGGCUGAACUAUGUUCAUUUGGAAGGAUAAAGACACUUUAGACACUUGCCAUCGACCAAUCUUGGUUCUAAUAUCAGUUGAGAGAACAACAAAAUCUGCUAUGAUUUUAUGCACUACCCAGAUCUGGAAAAUUCAGAUACAGUUUCUGCUGGUGCUUCAGGACUUUCUUUAUAUUUAUGACGCUAAUUCCUAUUGUUUGAUUUUAUAUGGCUUCCAGAACAAGCAUAUCAAAUUUCUAGAUUUUCGAAACAAAUGUGACUUGUCAUCUGCUAUUCUACCACCUCAUUAUUUUUUGGCAUAUUGUAAAAUUUUGGUCAUUAUUUCUGUCUGAUUAUAUUGGAAUGUUUCAAAAAUCAAUUAUCUUACUUUGACCUAUGAUUUUUGCAGGCUGAAAAGAUAGCAGCUAGAAUGAUCUACGAAGAUAGAAUGAGAGGAUUAAUCGACCAGGUAAAGAUCCUCUGCUAUGUAAUUUAAGGAUAAAAUUAGCAACGUACUCCAGAAUCUUCUUGAUCUGGGUUCUAGCAAACCGUGCUUAUCCCCAGAUCAAGAGACGCAAUAAAACAACAGAAGUAAUGCAGCAGAGAUGAAAAAUUACAAUCACAAGGCUACUACGACAGUUUAGUGGGAAAAGAGAUUUACAUUCUGGCACAAGCACACUUGGCCAUACUAUAAACAGAAUUAUCUAUACAAAUUCAUUAUUCUACCAUCACUCAAAAGAGAUUUAGUGUAUGUAUUUUAGUAAGAUCUUGCUGAUGUAUCAACAUAGCUACUAAGUUAUACAUUUCCCUCUUCCAGGUUGAAGCUGUCAUAUAUUUUGAGGAUGAUACGGAGGAGUUGCGACAAUGGGAUCAACAGGCAUGUCUUACUUGCACUUGCUAAGUAAAUGAUAGAACAAUUAUUAAUAAUUCAGAUGAUACAUUAACAUGUCUAUGACUUAGCUAAGGAGCUAGGGCUGAAUUUUAUUAUAGAUUAAAAUAUUUAAUUGUUGUAUGACAUCUAACCCCCUUUUUUUUUUACUACAUGCAGAUUGCAGGUUUAUGUCAAGCAUUUAAUGAUAUACUUGAUGGUAUGACAAGCAAGGGCACACCAGUUCCUGUUUGAAAUAUAUGCCUCGUCGAGAAUUUAAUUGGUACAUACGAUUGGGGUAAUUCGAGUUUUUGGAACUUAUCAUACAUGAAUCAUCUGUGUAUAGCGAGUGACAAAAUUGAGGAUUUCCUCCCACUUAUAUGAAAUAAAUAUAGAGUACUUCGAAUUAUUAUUAUUAUUUGUACCCUUCCUUUGUUAUUAAAAUAAUUGCUUGCCCUUAUUUUAUACCCUUCGUAUGGAUCUACCUACUGUGGGGGAAAAAAAUUAGAAAUAAGGAAGAUCAAUUACAAUAAAAAUAAAUACAUAACGUAUGCAGGUACAUUGGGAUGCUGUGAACGAUAUAUUUCAAGGAUAUUUACUAGUAAAGAAUAAAAUAUAAAAAUAAGAAUAAAAUAAUGAGAUCAAUAUCCUUCUUUCGACAUAUAUAUACCAUUAUAAAAUUGCAAAUGUACCAUUAUAAUUAAUAUUCAGUGAAACUCCGUCUAAUAAAUAUUAGCAUAAAAUCAAAUUAAAUAAUUAUUUCCUAAACUCCAAUCCAACACGUAUACGCGUAUAUACGGCUCGUUCGGGUUAUGUCUACGCCUUAGAGAAAGGGUUUAAGACAUAUUUGGGCUGGCCCGUAAAUAUCGAGCCCACACAGGCCCAUCAAUGUCCGGGUUCGAAGAAACCCUAGACCGAGCGCUUUUAGGGUUUCGCCCGAGCGAGCCCUAUUUAACGGCCAUCCAGUCUCCGUCGUUGCUACGAUCCUUUCCCUCUGACGUUACUUUUGCGGCUCGAACUCUUCUUUUUCUUUCUCCAUCCGUCGUUUUUGAUCUAACUCCCACUUCUCCGAUCGAAAUGUGGUUCUCUCGAUGACGAGAAACGAAGCAGACGGGCGGUCAGAACCUGAUGCCGUGUUGAAUGUCUGCAGCACUCAUCGACUUUCCUUGGAAAGCAUCCGAGAGAGAUUCCACUGAUCAUCGGUCUAAUAUCUAACGUUACGUACAUAUUUUGGUAGUUUGUGGUAUUAGUUUUGGUUUGAAACAUGAAUCUGAUCCGCUACGAUGAAGAUGCUGAAUACUUAUGUCUGGACAAACGAGAUCCUUUUCUGUGUCGAUGACUUGAUUUGCUUUUUCUGAGCAGCAUCAGAUCAAUUGUUUUUUGUUUUUGAUGGUCAAGUAAUUGCAUCAGUUACCCUCCUCUUAGAUGUUCAUUUGUGUGUUCUUUUGGAUCUAAGGGGAUAUAACGGGUGCAGAAAUCUAAAUGGUUGGCUUACCAGCCCAUGGCAUUUGAUUUGGUUGCUCUGGCGUCAAAUGGUCCGAUCGAAAUGCUUGUCAAAUAUCAAGAUGUUUCUUUUUUUCUGGAUUUUUUUUUCAAUCAAAAGGGUGGCAGAUGAUGUGAUCUUGAAAUCUUAUCCUACACACUGAAUCAUGGUGUGGACCAAUAACUCCGCUUAUUAUCUGAUGCCCCUUUUGCCGAUUGUUCUAUAUCUCAAUUUCUGAGUUUGUUGUUAAUAAAGUAGUGAUUUGAUGCUAUUAUGUAUAUCGUGGCCUACAUUUAUGUACUAGAACAGUCUUUGUGUUUAUUCUAGGGCUUUUCUGGCUGCUUAUCUUAGCAUUAUCUUGUAACUAUGUACGUGUAUAAUUGUUACUGAUUUUAUGGUGAUUUAUCUGUAGUUGUAAAUCUUCAGUGUUGUUGUGCUCGAUAACCCCAAAUCAAUCUUUUUUUUCAGCUAACUUGCAUUAUUAAAAAGAAACAGUUUUGUAGACUAGCCAUCAAUGGACUUUUAUGCAUAGGAGAAUCAUUUAGGACUUCUUCUAUUCGCAAACCUCCAUUAACAAUGGCGUUUUGAUUUCUUCUAUGAGGUGAUGUUUUUAGAAACAACCUUCAUCUUUGCCAAACGUAGGCUAGUCUUGGGAAGGUAAUAUGUUUCGCAAGUGGGAGGCAAAUGAUGUGAUUUCAAAUCUUAUCCUACACACUGAAAACACUGUGUGGACAGAUAACUCCGCUUAUUAUCUGAUGCCUCUUAACUUGUUUCAGUAUCGUUUGGUAUCUCUAUUGUUUUCUAGUCAAUUAGUUAUACUGGCAACUUUAUUUACUCAAAUUGGUUUGAGAUGACGAACGUAAAAAGUUUUAUUAUGUUCAUUGUGUAUGAUUAGAUAUAUGAACUAGGGGUCACGAUUGGUCUUACACCUCGCAGGUUCUUAUAUGUAAGCUCGUUCAUUGUUAACAUUCCGAGGUUUUGGUAAUCAUUUUGUUUCCAAACAUCAGCACUACAAGAAAUAUUCUUGUUUCCAAGUCUUAAUACCUGUUGUUUUUGUAAUGAGGUGAAUGGAACUGAUUGGCUGUUGCUGUCCUGAACUGAUGCAUCUCUUUUGUCCUGAACUGAUUAGAGUUAGGUUGCUACUGGGAAGUCCAUGCAUGACUUUUCAAAGAAGCAUUGAACCGUGGCGAGUGGUCAUCCAAAUUGUAUUUAUCAGGUAUUCAGCAUGGGAAUACUGCUUCUAAUACUAACUUUUUCUGGCAUUUAUUCAUUUGGGUUGCAUGUCCAUGUUUUGCAAUCACGAACAUCUGUCUUUAUGCAAUGCAAUCUCCUUUUCAUCCUAUUAGUUGAUAAGCAGAUACUGGUAAGUACUAACAUCAGUUGAUAUGGAUAUCAUAUUGUGCUACUAUGGCCAGGAGCAUCUGCAAAAGCUUGUAGAUGAUCAAUUGCAGCAACUCCUUUCUGGAUUAUCAUUCUGCACUUCACAUAUAACUGUUAAUUCUACUGUCGUUUCUAGAAUUAUUUUUUUCAUGUGUAAAUUAAACAAGUGAGCCUAUGCCACAAGUCUCUUUUCAGUGUUGUCCACUCAAAACACCUGUGUAUUGUGGUGGUGGUAGCAUUUGGCAUGGUUGAAAGUGAUACUGUAUGCCAUGUUAGGAAUAUGCAAUGCUGUUGUGUUUGAGGAAUUUUUAACAUGCCUUUUUCGAAGGCUCAUCAGAGAUGUCUGGCGUUAUUGUGGUUAAAGCAAUGGCAAGUGCCGUCUGGAAACGUUAAUGUGUACUAAUGCUGUGUUUGUGGGCUCCUCGGCAUUCCCGUUUAUGCUCUUUCGUGAUCGUUAUUGAACACCAAGUGUUUGAUAACGAUAAUAAUGUACAAUGUUUUCAUUAAUGUUUCAUCUGACAUUAUAUUUUCGUUAACAUGAUGAUGACGACGAUGUAAAUUCAUAUUUUCUUGAUUUUUGAGACGUACGAACACGUUCGAAAUAAGGUGUUUGGGCAGCAUAAGUUUGGGUUAUUAUGAUUUUGAUCAUGGAUAUUUUAAACUUUUAUAAUUUAUAAAUUUUUGGUUUAGUUUGACUUAACUGACUUGGUAUAUGCAAUUUAAAUUUAAGAAAAGGUUAAGGUUUAAUUUAGUCAUUUUUAUUUUGGUCAUGAAUCUUUUAAAUAUUUAUGAUUUAUUCAUGUCAAAUAAUUAAUAUAUUUUUAAAAACGUAAUAUGUAAGUAUAUGAGUCAUAUAUAUAUAUUUACUAACGAUGAGCUAAAGAGUUUUCGAUCAUAUUUCAGGUUAUUGUUCGACCCUAUAGCCUUAGCCACUUCCUCUUCCUUGACAAGUUGAUUGGGGAGAGCGAGCAGAUAUAAAAAAGUUACAUGAACCAGCUCAACUUCUCCUUUUGCUUGAUCUCCAUCUUCGUGAUACUGUGUUUCACGGGGUAGGUGGCUUACAAGAUAUGGUGGUACUCGUUAGGGUCGGAGCGGGUGUCAUUUGCCAUGCGGAGUGACAUGGUGGCGAGCGCCCUAAAGCUAGCGAGUUUGAUUUACCAUAUGUCACUCAUCAGUUCCAGGGCGCAUGCCACAACGUCGCCCACUACGACGUUGGUUGCCAUCGCAAACGACACUCGCUUCAAUCCUAACGAGUACCUCUCCCACCAUCACAUCAUAGGCACAGCAGGUGAGGGCGCAAGAGAGGACGAAGUGGAAGGUAGUAUGGACAAAGACGCCUAGGAGGAGAAAGAUGGCCAAAGAGACCAUUACAUGCCUAGCGUCGAACUGAUUAACGCACAUCCACUUGAGGCAGAAUCGGAAGCUCUUGAGCUCGUCAUCAGCGCGAAAGAUGCUAUGUGCAUAUGAUGCCCUACUACACGGUAGCAGUUCGGUGCUACUACCGAUGGUCGCUUCCACGAUAACGCAUCCUCCCACUAUUGAUAGUAGUGUUACUUGAGAGGAGGAGUGUAUAUGCUAUGUUUUUUAUAAUGUAUGAACUCUAUUAUACACGAGUAAACCAUAAAGAUUUAAAAGAUCUAAGACAAAAAUCACAUGGGCUAAAAUGAAUUUAAACUUAAAUUACACGUGUCAUUAUAUUAAUUAUUUAUUAUGAGUCAGUAUGUCACAUAAGGGGCUAAAAUUGAUCUUUAAGUUUUUUGUUUAGGAAUGGGGGGUUUGUUGAUAAUAUACGAUAUGUGUUGUUUCAAGAUGUCGAGGAUGGUCAUAGAGUAGGUUAAUUAUCGAUUAUAAUUAAAUCUUCUUAACAUCUCGAUCUCUAGAUUUAAGAAAUUUACAAUGGAAUCCUGUAAAAGUAAAAUAUUUAACUCUAUUUAUCUUAACAUUAUUGGUUUUACCGAAAAAAACAUGAAAAUAAUGGAUAAAAAUCUUAACAUUAUUGGUUUUAUAAAAAAAAAACAUGAAAAUAAUGGAUAAAAAGAUCCUUUAACUUUAUGACAGAUUAUUAUGGAUGAGGAGGAAGAGCGAAGGUGAGGGCAAUCCCGCCCAACAGUCACCCGUACUUCAUUCAUUAUCCACUCACCCGUACUUCAUUCAUUAUCCACCCAUUAGAACAUUAAAAUUAUUUUUUUACUCAUUAUUUUUAUACUUUCAUUAUUAAAACCAAACGAUAUUAAAACAUCCUUGAAAUUUUGAUUCCUAAGUUUAAAAUAAUUUAUAUUGGAAUCCUAGUAAAAUAUCUAACUCAAUUUAAGGAUAACUCGAUUUAAGGAUGUCUAACAACCAAAAAUAAUUGUAAUUAGCAAACAAUGAUUGGUGUAGAAAAGAAUUGAUCUCGGUGCCUUACCUUACCCCCUUAUGGGUAACAUUCACCUUUGUAAUAGCGACUAUACAAGAGGAUAAGAAACACCAGCAACUAUUUUGGAAGUUCAGACUGAAUAAACCUGGAAAGAGCACCCUCUAGUAAUUGUUUCAAUUGAAUCAAGCAUGAGAUGCAACAUUCCUUGCAUCACAAGCAUUUUCCAUUUCAAAUCAACAAUCAGUCGAUGCAAAUUCCAAAUAAGCUAGCAGGCUUUCAAUAGAACACAAAAUUUCGGUGUUCUUGAGAACUGAAUUCAGUUAUCAAACUACACCUACAUGGAUUAAUACAAUGGACAAACAAAUUGGUGAUGGCAGAACACCAAAAUCUUCUGAAAAUUGUGAUCAUCUUUUGAAAAGUCAUGUUGUUCACCUUAUGGCUCCAUUUGCAAUGGAUAAUACUUUGCAAACACCAGCAGAUGUCGUGAAGGGAACAUCCUUGUAGCACGCUACCAACUCUGAAUUGGACUGCAGAUCAACCUGCACCUUCUCCCAAACUUUGCUCUUGGCACUUAAGAUGCCAUCAGGCUCCCCCGAGUAUCCAGGAAAGGUUACUCGCUCGCCCACUGCAGCUGAUGAAGGUGGGUCAACCAACUCCACCUGGUAUUAAACACAUUAGUUAUUAUCAAGAAACUGCUGUAACACUGAUAUGAGAAAUUAAACACCUUAGUUAAUCAUACACAUGUAGUCUUGAAGGGCUUAAAACUGCGUUUAACUUAAGAUAGACCAAAACAAAAGGAGGAAGCACUGUGGCUUACCUUUGUGUGGUCAUCAUUUGAUGCAGCCAAGACCAUUGCAUGUGAUUUGAUGCCUCGCAUGGUGACUGGCUUUAGGUUGCACAGAACACAUACUUUCCGAUUCUGCAGGAGUAUUGUAGUAGAAUAAAUAGAGAUUCAUAUCCAAUGGGAACAGAAAAAGGUAGAGAGUAACAAACCUGCAUUUCUUCAAGAGGAAUAUAUUUCACAAGACCACUAACAACAGUUCUUGGUGAUUCUUCACCUACAUCGAUUUCUUCUACAUAAAGUGAAUCAGCAUCUGGAUGCUUCUGAACCUUCUUUAUGAGGCCAACACGUACAUCAAGUUUCGAAACCGAAAUCUCUGUUUCAGCAGUUUUUGCUUUUGUAUUGCCAGAAGGCUUAUUUUGUUGUUUCUUUGCAUUACCUAUUGGCACAAAUGACAUGCAAAACUUAACAUGCUAUUGUCAAAGAAAAAUAUACAACCAAAGGCCGACAUGAGCUCGUGAGGAACAGUUUCAUUUGAACUUUAACUGUCCUGAAACAUGCACCACGCGUAAAUCAUACACAUUAACAAUCUGGAAAAGACCAUCUGCGCAAAAUGUGCAAACUUAUGAUUAAUAAGAAUGCUUUGGGUGUGGAUGCUUAUGAGAGCACUUGAGAACAAUGCCUCUGGAUCUGAACAUGUAAUCUCAAUUUAGUUUUUGACUAAAAUUUUAAAUUGAAUAAAACCUAUUCUCAUCAGCUCAGUAAAAGCCAAAACUUUGCACAGCUCCAAGACCACUAGUGGAGUUUUGCUACAUAGAGUUGUUCUUACUGCUGAUGACUGUUGAUGAUAAUAUGACUAGUCAAACUAGGAGUCAUCAAAUAACUUGUUACCAGUAAUAUCUUCAUAAGUCUCCCUCUUAACUCUGCUCAUGCCACUAAUUUGAAUUGUCUCGCCUCACCUUCAGGUUUUUGGAUCAGUUCAAAUUACCCUAAAUAGUAUUUUCUGUUAUAUCCUCAAUCAUAACUAUACCCAUUUUAUCUCAUAAAUGUGAAUAUCUUUUAUUCUAUCUUCUUUAAAUCCCCACGCGUUAUCUAGGUACUCAUAAUUUUUUUCUUCUAAUCUAAGAGUUGCAUGGCAACUACAAAACACUGCAGAUGAACCACUACAUUUAAAUCUAUAAGCAAAUAAAUCAUGUUAUUGUGAUUUAAAAUUCUGCAUUAUAAAUGCUUUGUCAGAGCUGUAUUGCCUAAGUUUUUCUGUAGCUCAAUUUACCUGCUUUUGCCAUUUUUCUGAUUCAUUCUGCUAAAAACUUAGCUAAGAAACAAAGAUCAAAUAUAGAAAUUGAGGAAAGAUAUUUAGACACCCAUAGUCCAGAACAUGGUAAAACUUGAAUCUUAGGCAUCAACUUCUCUGUGAACUUUAUGAACCUUCUUCCAAAUGUUAUUUAUUAGUAUAAAACAUAUGAAUUUUUUUUAAAUCCCAACUCUUAAGUCUCAAAGUCCAUGACAGAUUAAAACCCAUUCUUUUUGAAUUGCUUAUUGCAUCUUAUGCCUUUUUUCUGGUUUACUAAAAGUUCAUAGCUUGUAAUGAAAAAAUAGGAGAUUUUUUAUAACAUGGGUCAGAAACACUCUACCUGUUAUCUUUGUGGCUUUUAGUUGCUCAGCAACUUUAUUUGCAUCAGUUUCAGCCUUCACAAUUCUCUCAGCUUGACUACCAGCAAAUCUCACCCUGAAGGAUUCCACGUCUUCAUCUUUCUGCUCGGAAGAGCAUUCAAUAAAUAUCCAAGCGAGUGAAAUGCAAUUGACAAAAUCAUGCACAAAGUUAAUAUGUAUAAAAAUGAGCUAUCAAGCGAUAAACAAACUAAUGCACACCAGUUCCUUAAACAGUGGUUCAGGUUUCCCUAUAUGGUGACCAGAUGGCAGAAAAUCCCAAGGUCUCUUUGCUUUGUCAGUUUCUCCAUUUUCAUCACAAAAGGAGAGAUUGGCUUCCAGAGGUAAAUUGAGCUGCCUUAGCACCUAGCACACCAAAGAAACAUUAUCCAGAUCUCAUUAGAGAACCCUAAAACCAAAGAUUAAGCAGCAGAAGGUGCUUAUCAAACAUAAACAAGCAAAGGGAAUAAAGAGAAAGUAAAAUUUACUUCAACAGAAAAUGAAGGCAUGAAUGGUUCCAACAAACAUGCAAGAAGGUAGACAAGCCCAGCUGAGGUCUUCAUCACAAUGGCACAAGAAGAUGGAUCUUCUUUGAACAGCUUCCAGAAUUGGCUUUCCUAUAUCACAUACCCAAAAAAAAGGUAAUAGAACUAGCAUACAAGUACUCACAAUUGACAAAGAAAAUUCAAUGGAACCUACUUGGAGAUAUGCAUUUCCUUCACUGGAUAUGCUCAUUGCAAUCUUUAGACCUUGUUUUAGUUUAACCUGCAAAAGACAGCAAAUUAUUUUCUCCAGUAAUUAAUAUAUCACACAAACUAAUCACCGAAUUGAGGUGUGUGUGCGUGUGGAGGCUUUUGUAUCUUAGUCAAAAUCAAACUUCACAUAAUCACCUUUUCCAUAGCAUCCAGAUAUUGGUCAACCAAUUUACCAACUUUUUCUCCUAAAUAUUUUGUUAGCUGCUGAGAUUGUGGAUUUGAAGCAUCAGGAAUGAUUGACCCAUAUCCUGCUCCUGCAAUAAAUAACAAAUGGCAUUUACUGAUAAAUCAUUGUAUCAUGAAACACCAUCGGUGCUUUCAAAAUGACAAAUCAAUAAAGCAAAUUAAUAACUUCAUAUUUGCACAAGAAUAGUGAGCACAUGUUAGCUGGGUAGCUUCCCACAUGAUGUUGCCAUUUAAAUAUCUCCGUCAUGAUUGAACAAGAGAAAACAUUUGGAUAGCAAAGAAACAUUUUUUUACAUGUAAAUUAGAAGAUUGGAGAAGGUAUCUCAUAAAAUUUCCACAAGACAAACAGAAUUUUAAUAAAACUAUAAGCAUAAAGGCUUAGAUAUUUUGAGCUGAUUUUGACACCUGUUAAGAACAUGUUCAUCUUGUGGUAAAAACCAAUUCUCAAUCAAUUUCAUUUGCAUACCAACAGAUUUCAUAAUAGAUUAAGCUUAUACAACCAAGGAAAGGCCCUCCCAAGAUUGCAAGUAGUUGGUAAUAGUCAAAAGAUUAGAUAGAGAAGUCAAUGACUGAAACUGUCACAUCAAGUGAAAUGAUGAUAUUAUUAGGCAUAAACCCUAGAAGGGCAGGAAACUUCUCUUUGCUUCAACCAAGUCAUCUCAAAUCUAAAAUCUAGUACCCCAUAGAUAAAAAAGAACACCACCUAAAAAAUAAAACCUCAACUGUUUAAUGCUUUGCCUGCCUUAGAAGCCAUGUAAUGCCAGAGACCAUCGCUCAUAGCCUUGGCAUGCUGAACACACCACAAAUCCAAUAGUUCAAGGCACGGUACAAGACAAAUUGAAGCUAAGGACUUUAGUUAAGUUUCCAUAAUAGUUUAAAGAUGGUCCUAUAUGAUUUAUUAUUUACUGGAUAACGCAAGACAAAUUGCAUUUCCAAAAGCCAUAAAAUGGUUCACAAUUUAACAAAAAAAGCUACACUAGCUAUUGCAAUUUUACUUUAAAAUUAAAAACUUCAAAAAGAGGAGUCUUCAAUUUGGUAGCAUAGUGAAUGCAAAAGCAUUAAAUUCAGACUAUAUACAAAAUAAAGUCAAACUGGUUCAUAAUGCUUAGGGGACUGCAAGUAUAUUAGUUUGCAUGAUUUCAAUAACCAACCUUCUGGCUUUGCAAUAAAGCUUAGAACACGAUUGAUGAAAUUCCCUAAGUUGUUCAGCAACUCAGUAUUCAGCUUAGCCUGCAAGUCUGCCCAUGUAAACAAUGUGUCCGAUACCUGAUUCACAAAAACCAAUCAGGAUACUACAUAUGGCAACAAGUACUGGAUCUAAUUGGCAAAAUUUUAUGGGCAUUUAGAAUCAAAACUACGGUUUAUCUUAGGACUCACCUCAGGCCUAUUCGUCAACAAAUAGUAUCUCCAUACUUCAGUAGGAAUCUUUGUAUCCUUGGCAUCAUUACCAAAAACUCCAAUUCCCUUACUUUUAGAAAACUUUCCUGCAACACCACAAACAGGUAAAUAAACCAGAAUAUUCUAUGUACCAAGAGCAUAAAACUGUCUUACAGUAAAUUACAACCACAUAACUUUAUAAGGUUACCAAAAACAUUUCAACAAUACUGCACGUUGCUAUGAUUAAAGAGUUCAGAUGGAAUCUAUUUCAAACUCAAUUUUAAUAGUACAAAGAGAAAACUAAAAUGUUAUUAGGAUGGAUGGACAUGAAUUCCUGUAAUAGAAGUUAGGUUCCUUGGAUCAAUCAAUCAACAUGGCAGAGGGAUUGAGGAUACUAUGCAUAGAACAAAAGUUGGGUGGUUAAAUUGGAGAGGAGUGUGAUCACUGAGUGCUUUUAUAGAAGAAGAAAAUUUUCAUAAGAGAUGAGGGAGACCUAAGAAUGAUAAUUAUAAAAAAGAUAAUUAAAAUGCUUUACAUUUAACUAGAGAUAUUGCCUCGCACAAAGUUCAAUAGCAGCAAAAAAUCCAUAUAACUCCUCCAAUUAUUUGGGAUUAUUAUGAAUUAUUGUUGUUGAUCACGAAAGCAGAACCAACAUAGUUAUAAUAAUUGAUGGAUUCAUUUCAAUUGAAUUUACCUGAAAUCAAAACUGAAUAUGGUUAUGAAUCUAGCUUGAAUGCAGCUAAUUGGUCAUCAUCAUAAUUCUUCCUAGCAUAAAGGUUCACCAGGUUGUAAGGGUGAUAGUAUUCACUAGUAACAAACUCAUGAAAUUUUGCAGUGAAUCUCGAGAAAUCUAGAAAUGGCGGCUCUUUGGCUGUACAUUUGGUAUUCAAGUAGUUCAGCUAAUCCAGCACCCGCAUAGAAAAUGACUCUUACCAUGUGGUUAUGCUAAUCCAAGUAUUUUGAUGUCAUUACUUGAAACCAUGAACCCCAACAAAAAUGCCGCACAUCUUAUAUCAAUUUUAAGUUGAUGGCAGAAUAUAUAUGACAUUGUGAUACAAAAACCUACUUAGUUAGUUAGUUAUCAACCAAUCAUCUACUACUUGACAUUGUGAUGCAAAAACCUACAACAUUAUCAACCAAUCAUCUACUACCACUGAAUGCCCCUUUGUUAAUCGACUCCAACAAUUUCAGUCUUGGCCUUAGAUGUAGCCUCGAAUCCAGAGAGUUCAAUGUUGAUGACAAAAGGCAGUAGUUCUGUAGUUGUACUUACGUGUAUCUGAGAGUAAUAUGUCGUUGGUGAGAAGAGACAGAAUAUUUAUUAGCUUGUGAUAAAAGAACCUAGUUCCUUAUCAAACUGUUUCUUUAACUACUACUGCUACUAAUUUUCCUUUUGUUAAUUGACUCCAACUACUCCUGCAUUGGCCAUUUUGGGAUGUAGCCUUUAAUCUAGAGAGUUUGUUAGUGAGGUGCAAUCUCUGUGAUGUCAGAAGAAAAUCUAGCAGCAGUGCCCCAUUUGAAACUGUGUAGCUGAGAGUAACAUGUGGUUGGUGAGAAGAUAGAAGAAAUAUAGAAAAGACAUGUAUAAGGAUAUUUGUAGGUUAAUAGACAUCUAAAAAUUCCCGAUUAUUUAUGAUUGUUGAAAGACAAUUCUGUAAUUUUUUUUUCCUCCCUAUAAAUAUACAUGUAUAUAUCAUGCAAACAAAGGUGCCCACUCAAGAUUGCCAAUAGGCACCAGAUGCUCCAACCAGGGUUUUUAAUAUCGUUCCAUACUGCCGGAUAUGGGUGGUAUGUACUGGUCCGCCAGCUGACCGGCACGCGGACCCCCGCUACCGGGCGGUAUUAGCUUGGCUGCAAUGAGGCGGGACGAGGAAGAAGAGGGCAUUCAAAGAAAAGGGAGAAGCAUCGAAGAAGAGGGAGAAGCAUUGAGAAAGAGUAUCGUGGAGUCACUGAUGCCCUUUCUCGAUUCUAAUCUGACGCCGCCCUCCCUCGACAAUCCCGAUCUAGGAGGUAACAACGAGGAGAAUCGUACCUUUUUGGGGGGGGGAGUUGGAGGCGCGGGGAUCAGGGGAAGCGAUGGUGAGAGUAGCGAAAGAGGCAACGAAGACCCCGGCCUUCUUCAUCUCCGAACGUCUCCUUUGUCCACUGUUGCUGCACGAAGAACCUUCCGAUGUCGAUGUCAUCUUUCUUCUCCCCACCUCCUUGACGUCGAAGGCCGUAGACGAGACAAUCGCUCAGUAUGUCGUAUCUAUAUCUUUUUAUAUCUUUAUCUAUUAUUUUUUAUUUUUAUAUUUUUUAUAUAAAAAGAUAAAUACUUUUUUUAAUAGUGAUCCUGUACGCCUAACUUUACAUUCAAGCACUGUCUACGCAUGGCUUAGAUAGUUUGUCUUCAUCAAUACACAUAGAAUAGGAAUAGGGUGGAAUAAUGCCACCGAAUAUAGUACUGCUCGGUAUAACAUACUGUAUCAUACCGAGCAAAGCUUGAAAUACCGAUACAGUAUGAAAUUUCAAUCAUUGGCUCCAACCAUAAACGUAACUGUUUGGGGUUUACUUUUUCUUCAUAGAUCAUCCCAUGACCAAGUUCUAAAGAGUUACAGAUAAAUCCAAGCAUUGUUAUUUUAAAUAUACUUUGCCCAAAAGAUGCAUAUAAAAUAAACCAAAUAUACAGAAAGAACAAUCAUAAAAAGAACCUGUUCAACAAUCUAAAUACAUAACUAUGAAUAGGCAGUCAAUAGUACCUGAUUCAUAAUUUAAAUAUUCUGUGACACUUAUCGUCUUCAUCAUGGUCCACCUUUCGCCAGUUCCAAGUAGAGUAGAAGGAAACAUUACCUAGAACACAACAGCAUAUUAAUAUCUAAAGAAAUACUUUCUGUCAAGGAGUGACUUCAGAUACAUAACAAACACAGUAAUGUAUGUACAUCCAGGUCUGAAUAAAGAGUCCAAAAAUACAGCAGCAGGCAAAAUUCACCCUGAAAUUAGUGGUUCAACACUUAAGGUGUUAGAAUUUAUGAGUGGUUAACCAUAUAAGUAUAAGUAUGUACUGAACUAUUUCGUAAUGUGACAGACCCUUUGAAUAAGUUUUUGGACUUUAAAAUAACCCAAACACACAGGGAGGUAAUAGGGCUUAUAACUGGCUCGUUGUUAGCAUGAUGUGAAGUUGGCAUUUUAUAUAUCUCCUCCAUGCUGAUAUAUACGCAAAGAUGAACUAUUCCUUAAAAUUCUAAGAACAUAUCAUGGGAUUUCAUGGUGUUACAAAAACCAUGAUGCUACUAUCAGUACACUUGGUGUCUUAUUCCUCUGAUAUUGUCAGUAUUCACUCAACUAGACAUCAUUAUACAUGAAAUGCCUCAUGAACUUACUUGUAAUAUUCACAUUUUAACACUGAUGAAACAAAAAUUAGCUUGUUGAAAGCUUAUCUAUGUGUGCUCAUUUCCCAACUAUAUUAGACACUAGAAUAAACUCAGAUUUACGUUGCCCAUAUGCCCCAUACUAAUGCAAACUUGCCACGUAUGUGAAAAAGAAAAUUGUCACAGAAACCCUACAGUUGGUGACCAAGUAUAAUGAAUCCAUGGGUUGAUAAAAAAAAAAUAUCUCUUGCAACUUAAGUAGCAUACUCAAAAUCCCAAAUUCACCAUGCUAAAGUGAUUACAUUUUAGAUCGCAAGCACUUGAAGAAUAGACUUCAGAUUGUGUCAAAUUUUGUCACAAUACAAAUACAAUGGUAUACAUAAGAUAGAUUGUGUCUUUGAAUGCUAAUGUACGAAUGAAGAGCAGAAUUUUACUGUGUGAAAUGGCACGUUAUCCUUGCCCAUAAAUUGAUACAACUCCACAUUAUCAGGAUUCUUCCACCAUUGCUCCCACUCGGAAGUGUAGCAUGCAGUGAUAGAAAUAUAUCCAAUAGGGGCAUCAAACCACACAUAAAACACCUACACAGAUAUAUACCAAGGGUCAAUUGUUAGGGUUGAUACCACUAUGACAUUAUCUCUUAGAUCUCUUAAGAGCAUAAAACUGAAAAGUGCAUGAAGCAUCAAUCAGUUUCCAUUAUAGAUGUCAAUCUAAAUGCUUUUAAAUUGCAAGGAUUUCUUGUACCUUAUCUUUAUACUUCUCAUGUGGCACUGGAACUCCCCAUUUAAGAUCCCUUGUAAUACAACGAGGUCUCAGACCUUCUUUCAGCCAUGCAUUUGUCGCUUGAAUAGCAUUUUGGCUCCAAGAUCCAGCCACUGACAUGGUGUUAAUGUAUUCUUCCAGCUUCUCUCUCAGCAAGGGUAGCUCUAGGAACAAAUGAUCUGUAUCACGUAUGCGAGGAGCGGUACGACACACCUAAUAUGAUAAUAACUCCACUUAGGUGUAUAAACAAGCCAAAUACAUCAUUCACGGUAAGAGCAAUCUGACACAAAAUAUACUACUUACACUUGAAGGUCAAAACAAUAGGCUGAAACUUGCUAUAUCUUAGUAGACAAUUACCUUGCAUUUGGGAUCUUUCAGUUCAGUUGGAUUUAACAGUUUUCCACAUUUUUCACAUUGGUCACCACGUGCAGAAUCAUAAUUACAAUCCAAUGUAGGGCAUGUACCCUCAACAAGCCGAUCCGCCAAGAAGCGUUGGCAUGUGUCACAAUAUAGCUGCAUUUGAUUUCAAAAGGCAAUAAUUUUUGCCAAAAAUGACAAAAUAAAAUACAGGCAUAACUUGUAAAAUGCACCCGAUUAAUUCAAAUCACAGUAAUUACAAAGCUAUUAACAUACCUGCUGCAUGGUAUUUUCAGAAAGCCACUUGUUAUCCAGUAGUUUAUGGAAAAUUGCUUGGCAGACUUCGGUCUGCUGAGGAGCGGAUGUACGUCCAAAUUUGUCAAAGCUUAUAUCAAACCACUCAUAGACGUCUCUGUGAAUGGCAUGGUAUCUAGAAACAUGCAGAAAAUUAUAUUUAAAAGGUCAUAACAGUACAAGUUUAGACCAAAAGUAACAUAGAAGACUACUUUAACCACUCAUCAACCUCGUGUGGAUUGCAUGGUCUCUAGAAAUAUGAAGAGAAUACAUUUCGAAGACCAUAACAAACAAUGCAGAAUAAAUGUUGAUUGAUUCCCAUUUCUUAUCACUUGCAUCCACAAAAAAAAACAGUGUCUUUCUUCUAUGUGACAAUGGCCAUUUGUUGGAAGUUUCAAAAGAUUGCCAAGGCAAAUUACCUAAAAUGUAAUCCUUUUUCGGUUUUUCUUUCUUUGACAGAAGCACUCAUAUAUAAUUUCAGGAAUUAAAAUGAUUCAGAACUAUUUAAGGAAAAUACUCAAAUAGACUACAUACAUACAAAUAUAACUACCAUCACUAAACUAUCAGAUGCUUUACUAUUCAAUUAAGCAAUCAAAACAGAUGUAUGGAUCGCAUUUCACUCACUUGUCACAAAUCUCCUUCGGGGAGCAAUUCUCCUCCAUAGCCUUCGUCUCAGUGGCAGUCCCAUACUCAUCCGUCCCACACAUAUAUAUCGUGUUGUACCCCCGGAGUCGGCAGUAGCGAGCAAACACGUCCGCACUCAAAACGCCUUAACCAAACCAAAAAUCCGUCAACUUUCUCGAUCACACCACCAAAUACUCCCAAAAAUAACCCAAUUUUUCAACCCAACAAAAUGAAAAGACAACAACUUCAGACGAAAUUAUCAAAGAAAAAAAUAAAAAAGUAUACAUCCGAUGAUGUUGCCGAGGUGAGGGACGUUGUUGACGUAAGGCAGCGCGCUGGUUAUGAGGAUGUUGCGGCGGCCGGGGAUCGGGAGCUUGGGUGCCUUCUUAGCCGAGGAAUCUGCCAUGGAUGCCUCGAUCUAACGGAGAGAGGAAGAUGGAUCAAAGAGUAACGUCAAGCCGUUCUCUCCCGGUGCUUCUUGGAUCGAUUCGUGCGCAUCGAGUGGGCGAAUGGAGUCGUCGUUUUAUUGGUUCGGAAAACCCUAGGAAGAGUUGGGAGCUCGUCGCCGGGCCGUGCGGGUUUAAUGGGCCUUCCGAAACGGAGUUGUAGGCGUAACAAUUCCGCCGACGUGUCGUGAUCAAGGCCGUCAAAUUAUCCCUUGCACUCCUCGGUUUUUUUGCCCCUCAAAAACGUUUCUCUCUCACCACCAUAUCAAAGGGUGAGAUGAUCAAUUUUGAUCAUAUAUAUAUAUAUAUAUAUAUAUAUAUAUAUAUCUUCAUAUUAGAAAAUAUUCAUAUUUUUUAUCUUAUUUUACUUCACUUCGAAUGGAGUCGACCUUCCCAUGAUUAAAUUUUAGUUUGCUAUAGGCAAAAAAAAAAAAUGUUCCUCUUACAUGUCAUGCUAUGCUCAAUAGACGCAUCAUCAUGUGUCGAGUUACGAUUGAUCGAAAAUAAUAAUUAUAUCGUUAUUAUGUAUUAAGUCUUAUACAUACUAGAGCACAGUGCCUUAGUCCAAGAUGGAUUCAUUGGGUAUAUAUACAUUGUAUGUUUUAAUUCAUAUGUACGAUAUGAAAUCCUUAUGUAAGGGGAUAUAUUUUAUCUAGUAAGAUCAUAUUAGAUGCCUUAUGUUUUUGUCCUGAGAGCAUGCAUUGUGCCAAAGGGGAUGACUUGGCUUCAUCGAAAUGCUUUGGGUUACACACUUGCACAUGCUCUUUUAUCUCGAGCAAAUGCAUCACAGAUCAAAGAGAGACACACACUUUAAAUAAUAUUGUUAGAUGUUUAUUUGUCUUUGGUGGAUGCAUUAUGUGCAAUAGAGAAGCUUUUGGAUCGCAUUAGAUAUUUUAGAUGGUUUUUUAUAUCCUAUCGUAACAAUAUAAUAUAAAUAUAAAUAUAAAUGACACUAUAUCAAUAUUAAACCACAUACUAUACCAUCAUCCAUGUUAAAAAAAGUGAUGCAGUGGGAACUUCAAAAGAGUUAAAACAAUAUGAUUUAGCGUUCAGCCAAGUUUUCAUUUUCCAUGGAGCUUGAAACAGAUCAAGCAUUAAGCAAUAAAGUGAAGAAAAAUGAUGCAGAAAAAGAAAAGACUAUGAAAGGAGAGACAAACAUCAUCCUAUCACCACAAGCUUUCUGGUUCCCCCCUGGUUAUGUGAUUUAAGAUGAUGAUUUGAAGAGUACACAGAAUAAUUUGUUGAUGUGGAAGAAAUCACAUUCUCCCUUCUAAUAUCAUGGAUCUUGUGUUCAUUCUCAAUCUAUUAUUGGGCCAGAACAAAAUAUUCUCAGAGAAUCUGUCUCAUCAUUUAUUAGAUCUUGAUAGAAAAAUUUACAAGGCUUCCAUGCAUUCAAAUUGGAUUUAUCAGUCAAGAUCAGAACAUUCCGAGGACACAACAACUAGAAAUUCCCACUGCGCUUGCCCUUGUUUUUGCCGUACAAGCGGAAGAGGUUGAAGGCAGACAUGGAGGAAACAGCCACCAUGCAGAGGCUACCUAGGAAGGCACUCACCAUGCCCCCCCCACUUUGGUUGCAGAAUUUAUGGUAGAGGUUGCAUACCUUCAUCCACUGGAGCUCUGUCUGGCCGAACUGGCUGAGCUCUGCAGCUUGUGCUGCCGCCGACACCGCUGCCAAUGUGAGAUACGCCACGACCUGAAGCGACACCAUGCAUGAAAAUAGUGAUUACAGUCUUAUAUAUUUUCUUAUCACUAUCAUUUUAUCUAAAAGCCUAAACCUUUGAUGAGACAAUUUAUUUUAUAACACUCCUGCCUUACAUGUACUUGGGUAGAUCGGCACAAACCUUACAUCCAAAAUUUGAACUGAUCGAAUAUAUAUAUUCAAUGCAUGAUCUGGAGUAGUUUUGGACAUCGCUAUCAUGUCAUCAUGAACUUUUUUUGACAUCAUAGCUUUUUAUCACUGUCAUUCUUAGCUUACAAGAUCAUAUUUUUACUUGUUUUUAGGUUUGACUAGAGAAAAUUUACAAGUAUCAGUUUUUGUAAUACUGAUACUUAUUUUUAAUAUGUGAUAGAUUGCUAAGACCAAUCUGAAAUAUAAAUUUGUAGUGCCCACAUAGCCUGCCAGACUCUGCAGAUAAAUCAUGAACUUGAGGCCAAGUUUAGGGCCUCAGAUGAAUCUCUGGCCUAUGCACAAAAUCUGCUGUGAAGAGCACAUGAAGCAGAGGUGACUUUUCUCUAGCUAAACAACUAUUAGAUGCAAUGGCAAAUGCCCUUUUUCUGUCUACAAAGUUUAAUUUUGUAAAUCAAUUGUCAACAAUGCAGAACUUUGUCUAGUACUUCACAAGCCAGACAAAACAUCAACACCAGUUGCUGAUCAUUCAGCAACUUUGGCCACAGAAGUCACUACCACCAGAACUAAAAGGUCAGUUGAUAAGGUAGAGAUUCUCAUUCAAUGCAACAUAGUUUAAGUUAAUGCUGCAAUGGUGACAUGGGUUAAUCAGCUACCUGAUCACAAGAGAAGAUAGCCCAAGCCAAGGCCUUGUUGAAGAGGACACUCCCCUUCAUCAUGCUCACCACACUCCUCACCACCAUUAGCAGACUAUAGCCUGCAGCUAUCCCAUUUGCUACCACUAGGAACCUGUCAAUCCAACCAAAACCAUAUAUGGACUCAGAAAUCUGAGAUUUAUGCUAUAACAGUGUAAAAAUAUAUAUAUAUAGACUUCACAAAUACCACCAUUUGAAUCUUCUGUGUUAUGAAGAAUUAGAAACAAAAAAGAGAGGGGUUUCUUCAUAGAUCUACACAGAAAUGAACUUGUAAUAACCACAGAAGAAAUAGGAAGGAUGAAGAGAAGGUCUUACACCAGAGCUUUCAUGUCAGUGAACUUGGCCUUCUUUUCCACAGAGAAGAACUCCCUAACCUGAGUGUCAGAUCCUACUAGAACAGCAGCAAUCACCCCAAACGCACAUGAGAGACACCUGAGCACAACCUCAGCCACCUUCAUCCUCCUCUCCACAGCCAUCAGCUUCCCACCUCCAUAGUACACUGGCACGGUCCCAGGGCUCACCCCAACCUCCGGCCUCAUCUCCUCCCUCUAAAAUCCUUGACAACACACAAGGCAGUGAAGCUUUACGAAGAACAGUCACUUCCCUUUUUUAUGGCCAGAGAUUCCCAAUCCCGCGCCUCGACAAAGAAGGCAGGGGGGUCAAUCUGAUUGAUACAAGACUCGGGAACUUGAAGACGGAGCUGCCCGAUGCCCCAUUCAAGAGGGCAUGGUGAGUGCAUUAUGAGGUCCUCAUCUGCAGCACAAGGAACAAGGACUGAUGCAUGAACAGUACCUCAGACCAUUGACAUGUGGCAUGGUAAUGACUCUGUCUUUUUGAUGUGGAAACAGUGUGGAAGAUUGGAGUCAGUGGAAUCUUUGAUUACAGCCAACGAAUAGAUCUUUAGCCAAGUUUGGACUGUUUUGGUUAUAGUCAAUCCAUGGUUGGUGGUGUGUCUUUACUAUAUAUAUAUAUAUAUAUAUAGUCUCACAUCUUGAGAACAUGUUUUGGUAUAAAAAUUAGACUAACUUUUUUUCUUAAACUCCACAGAUCUCACUCAAACUUCAUCUUUUCUUCAUUUAGAAUUGUGCAUUUAGAAAAUUACAUGAGGAUUUUGUACUGGGAAACUAAAAAUGCAUAUAUUUUCUAUUGUUAAGAUUGACAAGAUACUUAUGUUCUUAUUAAUUAUGUGUAUUGAUUUGUUUAUUAGUAGUUGAAAGGCCAUAUAUAUAUAUAUACCAUAUCACUAUUUGUUCUUUGAUUGUAGUAGGGACAUUGACACCAAUGUAAAGGACAAUUUUGCCCAAAAGGUAAAUAUAUGUAAAUUACUAAAAAGCUAAUCAAUGCAAGCUCAACAUUUAACCUUCAAUCUAGUCCAUGAGUGUUGGAUGUUGAGGUGAUUUGGAGGAUAAUAAAGUUAAUACUAAAUGAAAAUUAUUUUAAGAGACAUGUGCAUAAACGAUGUUCAAAACUAGGAUGAUAUUUGUGAUAGCUAAAUUGCAAAUGUUAUAAGGUAAUAAAUUCAUUUGUAAUAUUGGAGACAGUAAAUAUAGGAUUUGCUUUUGUAAUUUUUGCAAUUUAAUGGAAAUUUUUGACAAGAUGAAAUGUUUUUGCUUGUACAGUACAAUUGAGAGAAGAUACUAUGUAAUAGUCUCCAUUUACAUGGUGUCUGCCAAUGAAAGAUGGCUUAUAUGUGUUGUCUUUUUGUUCUAUGUGAUCAAAAUGAAAAAGAAAAAUCAAAGCUAAAUUGAGGAUGGAAUUUAUUAAAUCUAUUCAAGUACACAGUUCAUAGAGGGAUUGUGGCAAACCAAAUAUAUCAUUUACAUUUUAUAUUUCAGAUAGAUAAGAGAUGUUGACAAGGGAUCAGAUUUGAGGGAAUAUUUUGGCCUUGUGUGGAGAUCUUUCCUUCUUGCGAAUCCAUCAAAUCAAGAACUUGUCAUUCUUUUGACAAAUAUCUUUUGACUGUCACUCAUAAGCAGAAGCAUUGAGUGUAAUCAUCUUUUUUUGUUCUAGUGGGAGUCACUGAAAGCUGAAGCAAGCUCCAAAUUUUGACAAUGGAAAUCAAAGACUGGAAAAAGGCUUUGUGUUAUGAUGAUGGGAGCCUGUUGGCAAUUGGAAGCAUUAAGUUGCUGGGCCAGUGACAAUCAUGGAAUAUGGUUGUGUUGGGAUCCCAAAUCUGGGAGAACUAAAUUUUGGAAUAUGUGAUAGAAGGUUCUUGCCAUCUCUUUAUUAAGAUAUACUAAAAUUUAGGACAAAGUUCGGUGCAUUGGGAUUGCAUUGAAUGCUAGUUUGAAUAUUCUCUGUUGUCAGCAUAGAGGAUGUCCUUUUCAUCCAUUAUCAUCAUCCACUAGUUUAGUGGGGAUAGGCAUGAUCAGAAAAGAACAAGAAGAAAAGGAAUUGCUGGAUAGAUCACCACAUUUAUCAAUGGAUUUUGUAUGACCUGAUCCAAUCUCAAAUCUCCUGAUCCCUUGAUCCAAUCAAUAGAUUGAUCCAGUCUAAUUGUCUAGUUGAAAACCAGUUGGGGCAUAAAUUGACCUGAUUACUUUCUGUUUAUUAUCACAUAAUGCAAGUAACAUUGGAUAAGUGUUUGGCAACCAGUUAAUUUACAGUGAACUCGAAUUGCAACAGUGCCUGCUCAUGGCUGGAGAUCAAAGGUGGAGUUGAGCUCUCAUGUCAUACUGAUACUGCCCAGCAAUGUAAUUAACCAUGGUAGUAAGAGGAAGUGAAGCAUAAGUUGACAUGGAAGUGGUGGAAAGAGAACCUUAAAAGGCUUGCAUUUUAUUAAUGGAGAUUCAUGAAACAUAAACCAAAUAAUUUGCUCAUGCCUUUGUUGGCAUGACACUGUUAUGGCUUUUCUAGUUUAAGGUUGAAACAGGUAAAGACAACCUUUGAAGCAAAACUAUCAAUUAAUAUGCACACCAUUGAGUCUCAAACAAUCUCAUAAUAAAGGAAGUCCCCCUGUUAAUUUAGCAUUAGAUUAAAAAAAAUCCAUAUUUCUGUAGUUCAGUGUGCAACAAAUUUAACUCACAAGCCAAAAUUGAUCCUCAUUCACCUAGGAUGAAAAAGAAAAGGACUUUUUUUUGGACUUUAUCUGCACUUUUGCAGCUCAAUUUGUCAAAGUUGGAUCCUCAAUAGGUCAGCUUUAAGAUGCCACUUUUUACCUUAUUUCCUUCUUGGAUGCUCAAAGCCCUUGAAGCUAAGAGCAGAUUCAACAGCAGAAAUAAAUGAUACACAAAGAAUUGGAGUCUUCAUGAGUGAAUAAUGUGAAUGAUCUCAGAUAAAAUAAAAAAUAUUAGACAAGCAAACAAAAAAUCUAAAGAAAAGAAGUGAUUCCAAAUCUGCAGCUCAAAACUAUUAGCAGAUACCUAACAGCAAUAGGAUGCACUACCAAAGGCUAAAUACCACACCAUCAAAUUAUCCAGAAAACAACAAACUGUAAUAUUGGUGCUUCCCCUGAUGAGCCUACAAAAGAAAUGUCAAGCACAUUCUGAAAGACUGAAAACCACUUCAAUACAAAGACCUGAGUAAAGACAAUUAAUUAUAAGCAUCAAAUCAUAUAAAGAUGAAGAUUGGUUCAAAAGACCAACUGGAACUACAUCAAGCAACAUCCAGAUGAUAAUAUCAACACUCCUUGGUUGUGGACUACUAAUCCUUGGCUGUAAAUUACUACAUAAAAUAGAACCAGGAAUCUCUAUGGGCAGUCAGCAGCAGCUCAUUUUUACUUUUACCCUGCUGCAUUUGAUCGAAUGCUAUGCACAUUCUUCAAUAAAUCCUGGAUUUUUACUUUUCCACUGCUGAUCUCCUGAAGCUCUAUCUUUUCAAGCAGAUAUUGCUUCUCAGUUUCUGCUUCUUCAAGACAAUGCUUCAGGUUACAUACUGGCAUAGUGCUGCUCAGCAUUCUCUGAUUUAGCAAGUGCAAUUCCCUGUAGCCUCACAGUCUCCUGUUUGACCUCGCUGGCCUGAAGCUGGAACAUCUUAGCCUCUGUUUCAUCUUCAGUCCAGUGGUUUCAUUGUCCCCUUGCUUUUCCUUCUCUACUUUGUUUCCCGUGACGGCAACUGGGCGGUUUGUCUCGAUGGGCCAGGCCUCAUGCGAGCUGGCAUUCUCAGUGGGGGAGCUUCGCCAUUAGAAUAUUAUCGUGGUUCUUGGGAUGCGGGUGAGUCUGCAUGGUCGGACGAAGCGAGGGACCGACCUCGGAGGCUGGCGUGGGAGGAAGCAUUGCCGGUGGGGCUUGCUGGUGAUGGUUUGCACCAGAAGAGGUGCCCAAAUCAAUUGCUAGUAUGCUGUUAAACCUUCACCUGCAACAUAUGCAUCACCAAAACUGCCUUACCUGAGGGUUUGAAUCCAACUGAUGCAACUAGCAAAAGAAGUACGCAUCAAAAACUAAUACGUUUCAAGAUCCUUAAUUUCGCCAAUAAAUGCCGCCAAAAUCCAAUCUUUUUAUUUCUAGGGAGGGUCAGAAGAUUAAAAAGUGCACGUUUCUGGAUUCUAGAACCCUAAUCUAAAGUAGAAACAGCAAGCGAUUCAGAAGUGCGAAAACGAAUUAGGCGAUUCGCAUUAGAAUCCACACGUCCAACAUGAUUUCAACUAACUAACAAAAAGAAAAGGGCCGGAAAUCGGAGGAUCCAAAGGGGGACGAAUACGAACGAACAGCAAGCUUGCAUUACCUGGAGCUUGAAUCUCCCAAAGGGCGGACCGCGGGAAGCAUCGUGACCGAAGCGAUCGCAGUAACACCGAGAGAAGAAAGAGAUUAGGUCUCUCUCUCGCGUUUUCUCGUGCGCCGGAAGUCCUCCCUCCCGAAAAAGACAACGAUGACACAUACAAGUCACGACUAAACUUAAAUCAAAUUACGUGGCGCAUAUCGAGAAGCGUACUCGCCCUGCACCACCUCAGCCCGCCGUCAGAUAUCCAUCACAUUCCGUAUCCGUGACUCAACUCGUGUCGUGAUAUUACUGCUCGCGUUUCAACGCGUCAAACGUGAUGACAGCGAGAUGAUAAUAGACGGGCAACCACGGGGCCCCAUCCAAUGGAGAUCUGCCACGUCAUUGAACACUUUUGUAGCCUGUUUUACUGAAGACAGACUAUCCUCAUCCAACGCAAAAUAACAAAUAAUAUCACCCCGAUAAUUUUCAAGGACGAUUCGACCCAGCUGGACAAACAGAUGUGCAGCUACAAAGCUGAGAUUUACCCCUCCAAUUUUCAUUAUUAUCAUUGCAGCAUUUCAUUAUUUUCAUUAUAUAUAUAUAUAUAUAACAAUAAUAAUAAUUACAAAUAGAAAUUUGACGAUGAUAAAAAGAUUAUGGUCUCAUUCACAGCUAGACAUGAAAUUGAUGGGAUCAUCAUUUGGAGCUUCUUAUUUAACUUUUUUUAGUGGGUAUCAAAAGGGCAUUUCUCUUUUAUUUGGCAAUAAGAAAUAUUUUUUAACCUAUUUUGUUGAUCAUAUCUUUGAAUACUAACACUUCUUCCACCAAUAAAGGAAGACAUAUAAUAUAAAGUCCCAUGUCAUGAGAAGAAUGUUAUUUUCAUGAAGGUUAGACAUUAUUAUUUUUAUGAUCCCAUAUGGGUUGUAACAUUUUUGCAGAAUAUAAAUAAAUUCUAAAUGAUUGUAUAUAUAUUUAAAAAUAUAUAUAUAUAUGAAGAUAUUAGAAAGUCAAAUUUAAAAUUAUACUAUUGUUGAAAGUUGUAACAAUGUGGUUGUGUCAUGUUCUUCUUUCCUUUAUGGCAAAAAAAAAAAUUGUACUUGUUGUUUGAAGUCCUUUUUUUGGGGGGGAAAUUAAUCAUAUUUAUGCAUAAGAGAGAUUUAUGUGAUUUUGCUUCUUCUCAUCUUUUUUCUUCAGAUAUUCCAUUGUUGAUAGGCAUGAUGCUUCCAGACAAGAGAACAAGCUCCAUCCAUCCACCAACAAGAAGACAAGAAAUUGUGUGGAAUAAGUUGUUGAUUUUGAUUAGACAUAUAGAAAAACCACACAUGGACAAGAUUAGGUUUUCAUUGUCACUUUGGACAAGAGAAGACAAGUCAUUAUACAUAUCAUGAGAAGUGGCUGUUGCUUGGAGUGGAAGCAAGUCAAGAAACAUGCAAAAAGUUGACCAUUAUUAGGGGUGCAAAAUGGAUCAGAUACAGAUAGAACAUUGGACAAGGAAACAACUUAUAGAAAACUCAAUUUUUGACACAUUUAUCUUUCUCUUUGAUCCAAUCAAACAUUCAAGCUGUUCCAAUUGUUUUUUGUGAUAUUCAAUGAUUGAUUUAGUUUUAUGACCAUUGCAGUACUUAUGGCUUUUUUUCCUCCAAAGCAGUUAUAAAAUAAUGUCUACAUAUCAAGAUUUGGAACAUUGACUAUGGAUCAUUUUGUUUGACAUUUCAUUGCUACAAGUACCCCCAAAAAACAAAGUGUUGUCUAGUCCCUUUAUAUAUGUGGUGAAAAAUAUUACAUUUUCUAAAAAUUUACUUACAUUGAUUGUAUAUUUAUUUUUGUUGAUGAAAUUUAUGAGUCUUGCAUAUUACACUGAUUGCAUAUGGUACAUAAUUUGGACUAUGCAUCAUUGCCUGUCCAAUCCUAACACUAUAAAUGGUAAGGAAAAUAUUACUGUUGUUGUAGCAACCCCAAGUACAUGUCAAUAAUCCCCAUGCAGCUCCAAGGUUGAGAUAGAACAUGGCUUCAACACCCCACAUGCAAGAAGAGCAUGUGAAAGCAGUCAGUAGCCUCUGAUGAAGCUGCAUGCUUCUUCCACUGUGAUCUGUUCAUGCACAGUGGCAGAGACCAUAGAGGACAUUUUACAUGAUUGAAUGCCACAGGACAUGGCUUGUAACUUUGUGUUCUUAUCAGACACAAACCCCCAAAGCUAAACAGGAGGCUGCAUGGAGGCUUGCUGUUCAUAUCUUUCAAGACAUUGAAAUCAAAUCUAUUGCACAAAUUUAUGCAGCAUUGUGGGUUGUGCCCAUUUCUUGAUCAUUUAGUAUUCAGAUGUGGAGCACAGAUUGUGUCAUAGAUUAAUAUACAAUGGGUCCUUUUUUAAUGAAAGUUUAGGGUUUGGGGAUUGGUGAUCAUCCAGUUAGAAUUUUUAUCAUGAUAUUGGUCAAGACUAAUCUUUAGAAACUUUAGCAACCUUAUUCAAAAUAUUUAUUAUGAUAAUUGAAUUAUAAAAUUCAUUCAAUUUUUUUUUUAAUCUUUUGUGGCUCUUUCUUCAUGUUAAUAUUGGAUUUAUAAUCCAAGGGGAGUUGGUGAAUAGUAUGAUAAUGAGAUGAACUGAGAAUUUGAUGGAAAUAAGCACUGAUUCAGAGGUGAUGAGAAAGAAAAAGGAGAAGAAAAGAAUGAGAUGGAGAGAUACAUUGAGGUCACAAAGUCUUGACUGCUAACCACAAAUCUUUCUUCACUCUUCUAACACACCACUUUCACAAAUUGAAGGUACAGAAGACAAAUAACAAUCCAAGAAAACUAGAGAAAAAGCUUAGGAAAUUGCAAGCUGAUGCACUAAACAGGCGAGGAGGUAUAGAUUACAGGUGCAGAGAAGUAUCAACAUCUGUCUCAUGUCCAGUGAUUGAAUUCUGAGCAAUGCUUCUGCUGGGCCACGGGCUCAUGGAAGGUGCGUUCUCGGGUGCAUGGGGUCCUACGUGAUCACUGAGGUGGCGGCGCGACGGAGGCCAAGGCAGGUCGGGGUGGAAGAGCCAGUUCUGCUGCCCACACUGAACACUUGAGCUGGGUGGCUCGCCGUCGCCCCACACCCUCUGCAGCUCCCGCUGCUCCCUCAGCUCCUUCACCCUCUGCAGCUGCUUGAACCGCUCCUGCAGCAGCGCGAUGGAGGCGUGGAGGGCAAAGGGAUCGCCGUUCUGCCUCCCCAUGAGCUCAGCCUCAAGCACCAAUGUGGAGUAGCUCAGUGGGUGGUGAGGUGGUGCUGAUGCAGAUAGAGUGUUUGUGUUCAUGCGUGGUUGUGGCGUGGCCAUGGAUGCCAAUUUAUACUGGUUGGCUGCUGCCUUCUUGCACUAUUUCACAUAUGAUUUUGUGUCCUAUGAAUGAUGUAAGAGAGAGAGAGAGAAUCAAAGUGGGAGCUGCAAAAUCCAAGGAGGAAAGGCUUUGGGGUCCAUCUGAGGAGUUUGGUGGGCAGCUGGGAGCAGGGCCAGCGGCAGUCUUUAGAGGGAGAUGGGGCUGGGAGAGAACUCCAAGGAUGCAUGGAGGUUAGCAUUUGGAAGAAGGUGUUAGGGGGAAUAUGGGGUUUGGUGAUGGAUUUGUCUUCUAUCCCUUUGCCUUGUAGGAAGUAUAUUACCUCAUGGUGGGCAAUGGAAGAGAGAGAGAGAGAGAGCUCUAUCUCUUCCCUUGUUCUGAACAAAAUCUACAGUGAGUCCAAACCAAAAGCUUCAUCAUUAUGAGUUCUAUGGAACAAAGAUGAAGGGGUUAGAUCUGUGACCUGAAUGGGAAAUUUAGAAGAUAAUUCUUGUUCAGAGAGAUGAGCAACUAAAAGAAAUGUAAGGUAAGCGAGGAUUUGUUGUACCAAAGUAUGCUAUGCUAUGCUUUCAUGAUACUCUUAAUAUAUAUUUUUUCCUACAAAGAGUAAGAGAUGAAGGUGGUGAUUCCAACUUAGAAUUUUACAAUAAUUUAUCAAGAUUUUUACCAACUAUUUUUAUUAUAUUUUAGUGGGGCUUCAAUGCGUCCAACUUUUAACAUAAGCUCUUAACCAACCACUCUUUAACAUAUUUUGAUGAGACUUAAAUAUACAUUUCCACAUAUAUUUUUAAAUAUUUAAAUUCUUCAUAUAUAUAACUCUGGUUAGGAUAUAUCCUAAUAACUUAGGUUAGCUAUCAUUAACUGAGGUUAUUAGUAAUUAAAAAAAAUUACUUUCAUUGAAAAUUCAAUGCAAACAAGUACACAUGAAAAUUAUUUUUUUGAAAAUAUAUUUAAAUGAAAUAUGAUAAUGAUCAUCUGAUGAAGAAGAUUAACCACAAUCGUAUUUAUAUUGCUUUUUGAGUUCUGUGGUGAAAUAUAUGUAUAAAAUUUGCCAAUAAUAAUUGGAUCAAACAUGAGAUAUUUUUCAAUGAUGAUUGAAUUCUUGCUUUUGAAUUCACGCAAAGAAUCCCACUUGGACUAAGAAAGGAAUCAUUCACUUCUUUUCCAUCCAUUAACUUCAAAUUAAGGGAUCCAUUCGAGCAUGUCACUAUUAUGCAACAAUGAUGCAUGGAUACAAAUACAAUGAAUCAAUAUGACAUGAUACAAAUAUACCACCUUUGUAAAGAUUACAUAAUUGAUCACACAAAAACAACUUGGCAGACUACAAAACCUGGAAUUUGGGCAUCAACAUCACUCUUGUUAGUCUUUGGCAUCCACUAAUAAUACAGCUCAUCGGGCAAUUUAUGUUAAGUAAUGAGAUUGUUUCCAGGCUAUCAGUUUGAUUAUUCCAUCCGAUUUUAACCCAUGGAAUCAACAUCCAUUACAACCCAUGCACAUGUUCAGUAAUAUAAUUACACAGACAUCUUGGGGAAAAAGCAGAGCAACAAGCCGAUACAACAUACAAAUAUGUGAAUCGAGGUACAUGAAACGCUCAAAUGGCAGCAACUUCAUAGUCUAAACUACCACGGGACGUUCCAUAUCCAACACGAUCCUUGUGGCUUCCCAAACAAUCUGUCCAUCAAUGUAGUGCUGUCUACAUACAGGCAUAUAAACAUCAGCUCCACCAAUUAGUUCUGUUUGUUUUUCCUUUGUUUUCCUCAAGGUAAAGAAUGCACGUCCACCACACAACUCACACCUUGCGGUAAGCUUGGUAACUGAAUUAGCUAGCGGAAUGAUGUCAAGCACCGAGCCAAAUCUCCUUCUGCCAAAAAAUGUAAAUUUGGUCAGGAUAAAAGAGCCACGGGAGAUCAUGCUCUGUGCUUUUGCACCCGGCAUCUUGCAAAUAAAAUGCAUGUUUGAAGCAAACAACCAUAAGGAGGCCAAAGUAUCCUUAAAAUACCAGUAGAAUAUGUGGAAAGCCCAAUUUUGCUCUUUAAACACAGCAGUCUCCUUACAUAAAAUGACUAGGCAGGGUGCAUAAAUGUAUGGAGAGUACCUUAGGUAGUCACCAUCCAAGCCUGCAACAAUAACAGUCUUCCUAUCACGAUCAGCUGCAUUGCAGCAAAAAUCAUAAAGAUCUUCAAAGAACUGGGCUUCAUCAAUCCCUAUCACAUCCAACUGCCAGCAUACACAAGUAACCCAGACAACGAUGUUACUGUUAGAAAAAGAAAAUUAGCCACAGGCAGAUGCACGUGCAAAAAUCAGCUGCUAAAAUAACAGAAGAGAUGAGACGGGCAACUAGAAGCAUUCAGGACUUUAACAACAAUGGGUUUUGGGAAACAUAAUCUUCAAAUUGAUUCUGAUUAUCUAGUAAUGGACAAACAAAAGUUCUAAGAGGAUCAUUUUAUUCUCUUAGAACGUGGACACAGAGACUGAAUUAUGACCAUCUUUAUUCGUAAAAUCUAGCAAAGCAUAUUGGCGUAAGCAAUUUUAUAAACAGAUUAAAAUAACAACACAUUCCAGUUAUCCUUUGUUGGCCUACAGAAAAAAUAUGCAACUGCAUUUUCUUCAUCCUCAACCAUCCGAAUAUCAAUAUAAACUGAAUGUUAUAGUUAUAAAUGCAAUGAAGAACACUCGGAACUCCUCAACCAUUGGAAACUAAAGCAAGGAGACCAAAACUCGCCAGUUUUCCUGUCAACAAGAGCAUAAAGAUUAUUAGCUUAACUCUUGGAUACCUUAUCAUAUGCUUCGGCUCCUAGUCUUUCUCGGAACAUAGAAAGUGCUGGCAGAGCCAUGCAUGGCAUUCUCGUACCAUCAUGUGUCACAAUUGCAUCCACCCCAUACCUUGUGUCCUUGUCGGAUUUAAUUAUGGCCACAGUUCUGCUUAAGAAGUGUUAUCAGAUUAAUCUCACAUUUUACAUCAAGGUCACGUUUGAUGUAAAUAUUAAUAUCACAUCAUCAGAUAAAGAAGUUCCGUGACAAGAAUGCAAAAGGAAAAAAAGUCUCGAAACACAAGCGUUUUGCAUCGAAAAGCAAAUCCUGGACAUUUACAACAACCCGAUGCUUAGUUGCUGAUUAGAUGAAGUUCUAUGACUGAAGAGUGUAAAAAAUCAGUCUCAAAACACAUUAUUACAUUUUGCAUUGAAAAAACAAAAGAAAUUUUAAUAGCACCCCCUGUUCAAUUAACGAUUGAAUGGAGUUCUCGUGAAGACUUGGUUUCGAAACACAAUAUUACAUUUUGCAUUGAAAACGACAAUAAAGUCAGCGAAGACUGUAAAGAUCCAAUCUUGAAACACAAGAUUACAUAUUACAUAAACAAAGGACAUUAAAGCAAAAAACUCAUUUACGGCGCAAAGUGAGGAGUGCGGAGGAGGAUCCUACCUUCCGUUAUUCCUUUCGGCUUGGAUUCGACGGAGGAGAGUGGUGGUCUUUCCGGCGAACAUCGGGCCGACGAUCACAUGGAUCUCGCCGCAGCAAGGGCGCGAUUGCAUAUCGGACUCAUGAUCUCCGGGGGACGUUCUACAAUAGGGUCUGAAGGAGGUGAAAUGGGUGGCAGGUUUUGGGAGGCGGACGAAAGGUGAUUUGGCCAACGAUUUGGGGAAGUGGAACGUGCGAAACGAAGGGAGGAGGAGAGGUGGGGAGGGUUUGAGAAGAAGGUGGUGAUGGGAAGGAGGCGGAGGAGAAGAGAUGUGGAAGGGAAGGAUAAACCUCAACAUGGAGCGCAUAUAUCGUGGGAGGGUGGAAGGGAAAGGGGGUUUAGGGUUUGGGAACGCAAGGGGGUGAGUAGCAGAGGCACAUGUCUCCCUUCAUUUGGGAGUGGACGGGCUGUGCUACCUUAUACAAAAAUUAAAUAAAUUAAAAAUCAUUUCCAACUCAGAAUUAUAAUGGGCGAAUUUUCGAAAAAAAAAUCCUGAAAAUUAGAACGCUUCAAGUUUAAUUUUUUUUUUUUUUUUAUAAUGAUCAUUCUGCUCACUAACCAUCACCCACUAUCCAACCUCGAUUGCGCUUUUAUCUCAUCGAUCGUCUCCUUUCGUUAUGCUAACCAUCAUUCUUUGUUAGAUCAUGUUAGACCCAUAAUAGAGGUACAAUCUUUACGACUCCUCCAAUGCCAACGAUCGAGUCUGCAAGCGAGGACGAUGGUGAGGAGGGGCAUGAGGAGAUCGCAUCGAUAAGGAAGGAAUAUGAAGAUGCUACACGAUCCCUUUGUUGCUAAUGAUGAAGGUGUAACAGUAAGAUCUUACGUGAGGGUUAUAGAUAAAAGAGAGGUGGCUAGAAAUAGGGUAGAGGGAGCACCCAAGAUUAUUGGCAUUAAUAGUGGAUAUUUAUGUGAGGGUAAUAGGCAACGAUAACGAGCCCUGAUGUAAGGGUUACAGGGGAAGGAGGGUAGCCAAGGUUGUGAGCAACAAUAGCCCUCCCUCGUGUGAGGGCUACAGUCGAUGACGAUAACAUGUUGCGAUGUAAGACGGAUGCGAUUAUAAAUUUUAAAAAAAUAUAUUUUUAAAUUUAUUAGGGAUAAGAUGGUAUUUUCAUGUAAUUAGGGGUAUUAUACUAGAAUGUUUUAAACUUGAAACAUUAUAUGAGAAAUUUUUAAGAGAUUUUUUAUAAAAAUAAUUAUAUUAAAAAAUAUUUAAAAGUCACAUCUAUUAUUUAUAAACUUAAUUAUAUUUUAAUUUUUUUACUUUAUAAAUGGUCUAUCAUGAUUGUAAUAUGAAACAUAUCACUUAUGCAAUAAUAUAUUAACGAGACUAUUUUGUUCAUAUCAUUUUCAUUCACGAUAUUAUAAAUCUAUGAUCGGAUCAGUUGAUCCAUCAAUUGAAUCGAGUUAUUUGAGAUUUGACUGAGUCAAUAUAACAUUGUUGAAAGGAGUGAUAGUUGGAUUUGCAACUAAUCCUCAUAUAAUUAUUAUUUAGAGAGAUAAGAACAAGAAUGUGACAUUGGAAUUCCCCUCGUCAAAAAAUGAUAAGAGAUUGAAGAAUGUCCAUAUGUCACUUUCUCUUAAACUCUAUCACCCAAAGGCAAUUACUGAGAGGAGAAGCUUCCAAGUUUGCCGUCCAAAGCCAGCCACCAACCCCACCACCUCCUCUAUUUCUACCUUCCCCUCUCCCUCUCCUACCUUCCACCACCCUCAUCCCACAAGCUUAUCAGCACCUUCUCUCCUUCCAUCUCCCUUCCUUGCUCCAAUCUCUUCUUCCCACAAGCUGCAGUUUCAGUCUCAGUUCCCAUGAUGCAGGCCAUCUUCCUUUGCCUGUUACUAUCUUUCUCCCUCCAAUCCUCCUCGGCUCAAGCUCAAAACUGUUCCAGCGAGAGCUUCUCCGGGAACAGGCAGUACUCAUCCUGCAACUCCCUCCCUUACCUCGGCGCCUCACUGCACUGGACCUACCAUGCCUCCAGUGGAACAGUUGACGUCGCCUACCGCGCGCCGCAGUCUUCCUCCGGCUGGGUCGCCUGGGCCAUUAACCCCUCCGGUACCGGCAUGAUCGGCGCCAACGCCUUCCUCGCCUUCCCGGAUUCUGCCGCCGGCGCCGUGACUGUUUGGACCACGCAGCUGUCCACGUACUCCCCCACCGUGCAGGACCAGAACUUGAGCUUCAGUGUGUACAGCAAGUCGGCGGAGUACUCCGACGGGUCAUACACCAUUUACGCGACGCUGGAGGUGCCGAGCAAUAACACGAAGGUGAACGUAGUGUGGCAGGCGUCGACGCAGAUCAAGAAUGGAGUGCCGAACGGCCACUCCACCCUCGGCGACAACGUCAACUCGCAGAGCACUCUGGAUCUGCUGUCGGGGCAUGCAGCAUCUGCUGCAGAUAAUUCGAAGCAGCACCGAAUGAAUGUGAGAAACUUGCUGAGGUUUAGCUGUAUGCAUCUUAUUUUGUCUUCUUUCCUGCUCUAAGAUGAAGUCAAAGACGGAAACCAUGUUGCUCGGAGGAUCGAUGAACCGACUCAUAAUAGAUACAUGUGAGGAUGAUGUUGGUGAUGAGCACUUGGUCUUAAUUCUUUGACUGCAAGGUAAUGUUGUCUUGGUGCUGUUGACCGCACAGCCAAUAUGGCCGGGUUCGGCCUUGAAGGCACAGAUUCAUCUUAGGUACCGUUGACCAUAUAGUCAAUAUGACUUGAUUCGAUUUCGAGGGCACAUAUUCGUCCUUAGAGUCCACGCCAAAGCAAAGGAGUCAACCUGACCGAGCAGCCGAGGAGGUAAGUGGACUCUCGAGGCAUUGCGAGCUCGCGGUGGUUGACUCGAUGUCAUCCUGAGAUGUGGCUCAUUUGUUAGAGGAGGUUCGAGGUCAUCCCGAGGUGUGGUUUGGCAUUUUAGAAGUGCUCAGCGUCACUCUGGGGUGCUUGUUAGAUGCGCCUAGGUCCUGCACAAGUAGUCGGCGAUGUCCCAAUCCGACCCCUCUAACGCUUAAGUUAGUAAAGUGGAGGAGGUUUAGUAUGACUCAGGAGAGUUAAGAUAGAGUUCGUCUACCCCCAUUUGGCCUGGGGGCCUAGGUUUUAUACUUGAUCAGUGGCGUGAAGUCAGUGAUAGGUUAGGAUGUCCCUUACCCUGCCAGGGGAUCAUCGAUGGUGGUAGCUGACGAGCGUGUCAUAGUAGGACACUUGUGAUGAUAUACUUUAUGAGGGUUCUUGGCUUGUCUAGGACAGGCAGAGAAUGACCCCCUAUGUUGUUCGUCCGGAAGGUAGGGUCGAGGAAGUUGCAUCAUGCCACCUGGCCUCAAUGCGCGCAUGUAGGCCUUCCCUUAGCUACGGUUGAGGUGGCUUCUUCGGUCCAGGUGGUGGGGUGAGUUGGCAGUGCCUUUAUUAGAUCAACAUGCACUCAUGAUUCUAUAUUGAAAAUAUAUUUUGUUUUACUCAUAAUUACCAAUGUCAACCAUUCAACACCAGCUAUGUUAGGUAACUUUUUUCUGGGAUCUUUUCCACCAUUUUCCUCAUCUUCCCUACUGCAUAUUUUGCAUCUUAAUUUGUCUGCAACUUUGAUUUGUCCAGAUUCUUUUAAAUGCUUGAAUUAAGCAGAACAUCAUGGAACUAAUGAGUUAAAGUCCCCUUCUUUUGGGCCAUUUGUUUCAGUAUUAGCUUCAGUAGACCAUCACUAUCUGAAUAUUCUAUGUACCAUCCAACAAAGAAACUGGAAAUUUUUGAUAGCUGACAACAGGGAUUCAAUUUCUACCAGUACUAAUAUUUUAUCUAUCAUGAUGAUACAUCAUCUACUGGUUACUGAACAUUACUGAGUUGGAUUUCAGAUUCAUGGGGUGUUGAAUGCUGUCAGCUGGGGUGUCAUGAUGCCAAUUGGGGCCAUCAUAGCCAGGUAUCUGAGAGUGUUUCAAGCAGCUGAUCCUGCUUGGUAUUAUCUCCACAUUGCUUGCCAGAUCUCAGCAUACAUAAUUGGGGUCUCUGGAUGGGGUCUUGGCCUCAAGCUAGGAAGUGAAUCUGUUGGUGUCGUUCAUCACAAGCACAGGAUGGUGGGAAUUGCCCUCUUCUGCCUCGCCACACUUCAGGUACUCCAAUUCAUAACCUCUCAUUAUCUUGCACAGAGUGAGUGCAUCUUAAGACUUUGCAAAUUCUUUGGAAUCCAUGUUUUCCCUCAUCUAUGCAGCAUCACCAGGCAAAAGUCAAUUGAUUCUAGUCUCAAAAUAAGCUACACAGAGAGAGAUUUAGUGUAGAACUCCUUAAGGACCUCAUCUCGUCUCUGCAGGUGUUUGCAUUGCUUCUAAGGCCAGACAAGAAGAACAAGCACAGGAUCUACUGGAACAUGUACCACCACUCGGUCGGAUACCUUGUCAUAAUCCUGAGUGUUGUGAACAUCUUUGAAGGCUUUGAGAUACUGCUCCCUGCCAAGAAGUGGAAACAUGCCUACAUUGCUACCAUUGUGCUGCUGCUUGUCAUUGCACUUGUCCUGGAAGUGAUCACUUGGGCUGUAGUCCUCAGGAGGAGGUCGAAAAGCUCCGAGAAGUCACACCAUGGAUCCAAUGGUGUCAAUGGCCAUGGUGUCAAGCAGUAUCAGGUGGCUUAGAUAGAGCCUGGCUUGCAAUGCAGGCUGUGUGUGCUUGGAGAUCUCUCUUUGCUAUGAGGACUGGUUGUAUUCUUAUGCAUGUUUAGGGGAGAGAGCAUUAUUGAUACCAUAGUUAUUUUAUUUAUUUUUCAAGGCUGACAUGCAUUCUACCCUUUUUGAGUUUCAUUGUAAUAAUAUGAUCUGAUUUAUAUUGAGGAGUUGAUCAUUCAUUUUGGUCUUGUUAAUUCAUGCUGAAAGCUGAAUUGUAACUGCUGAAAAGAUCCAUGUAGACUAUUUCCAAGCCAACUAAAUCCAGCAAUAUAUAGCAAUAGCAACAAAGCAUGAAAGAAGCCUGAAACAAAUUCAGCAACUGGAUGAUUGGCUAUGAUCACAAAGUCAGCUUGAUAAUCUAACUCUGCUUCUGAAUCCAGUCUUUGAAUUUUAGGGGCCAUUGACUAUUAGAUAAUCCUACCUUCUCUUAUUUCUGUUUAUGAUCAACAUAUUAAAGAUCAAGCUUUUGAAUACCUCAUCUCCACUUUCUCUUCCUCCUUAGAUAGGUAUCCUCAUCUCAUCCUCCUCCUUAACUUUCUCUUCCCUUGCCUACUCUUUCGGUUCCUCUCCUCCUCCUCCUCCCUCUUUUUCUCUUCUCUCUUCUUUUAUAUGUGAUCCAAAUUAUAUCGAUCUAUAACGAGUGUCAAUACGAUAAUUUUGUACUGGUAUUAUACCGGUUCGGCCUAAUUGGUAUCGGCACCAAACCGAGAUUUUACAUUAGAUAUCCUUGGUGCUUAAGAUUUACAAGUGCAUGGAUUUUGAAGCAUGAAUGGUGCUGCUCAACAUAAAUUUCUGACUUGUAUCAUUCGAAAGCCUCUAAUUAUUCAAGGACUGGAAUUUUUCAUUGUUUAUAAGCUGAAACUGGAUUAAAUUACAUGUUCAUACUAAUUAGUGUGUUUCACUUCAAUAUUUAUCUGAAUAUUUUCAACAGUUAUUUUUUUAAAAUUUCUACAUCACUAAAAAGUCUUUAGCAGGAAGAACAAUUAUGCCGCUUGAGAUAAAUUUUAGCUACCAAACAGCUUUCAUGGAUAAAAACAAUUUUAGACUUCAAAUUAAGCUUUUAGCAAAGUAAUAUUUUCUUUUUUUGGUGGUCAAGGAGAAAAAAAGAACUUGUGUGAUGAAGUAAUUAUCUGCAGAGUAAAAACAGAAAAGCCUUGCAAAGGUGUAAGAAUAAGGAAGAAGAUGUCCACUACUUUGCUGAAAAAGACAAGCUGACAACACAUGAAAAGAUCAGCAUAUUAGACUAGCCAAGCAAUCCUGACAUGGUGAUCAUCACAAGCCUACCAUCUCUAUCCAACACAAAUUUAUUGAUGGCUGCUAGUUGACUUUUAGCAUAAUGAUCAUCACUAACCUAGACCAAAUGUUGAAUUCUGCACUGCUACAUUGUCUUUAGUUACUAGAUUGUUUUGUAAGUUCACCAACUUUACCUCACCUCUUCUGCUUCAAACAAUGUGUCUGUCAUUGUAACUUUUUGGCUGUAGCUUAAAGUUGGUGAAAGAAACACAAGUCAUUAGCUUAAUGCAACACAAGGUAAAAAGCUUCAAAUCCUUGCAUGCCACCAAAGCAUGCAUGGUUGAGCAAUCCUCCAUGGCUCCUCUUCUUCCUUCCAAUUGCAGUUGGUUGGAAGAACAAGCUUCCUCUUUUUUCCAUUUCCAUUCUAUUUAAUCUGAUCUGCUGCUGCUGUUGUUAGCAGAGUGGUUAGCCUGCUUUCUUUGUUUGUCCUCACCUCUUCCAGUCUGUUCAUAUGAAAUUAAGGGGAAAUAGCUGAUGAUACAACUUAUGUGAAGCUGCAUCAAUAUCGAAUGCGAUGAUGAUCAAUGUAUGUAAUUUUACUUGUUUACGAACGAAGAAACUAUUUUCAUGACUCGAACUCUCAGAAUCCGAUUUGUAAAGAUAUCAUGUAGCAUCGACCUAAAAACGAUCAAAAUAUAUGGAGGCCUUAUUAAAUCAUAUAUAACUUAUUAUGUAAAAUCUUAAGAUGAUAGAAAUUAUAUAUGCAAUUAUUUUGUUACCAUAAUAAAUUUUUAAUUGAAAUGAUAACAAAAUAAAAUAUAUUUGAUUAAGAUGCACUCAAAACCUUGAUAAUCUAAUUAAUAAUUAUUUUAUAACCCCAAAAUAUUUUUUUAUUUGUUAACAAUUGAUCACUCCACACUGAAAAUAUUCAAUCUCAUAUAGUUCAGACCUAGCUAUCGUUUAACGGGAUCAUCUUAUACUCUAUAAACAUAUGAUUUGCCUUGACUUAAAUUUAAUCAAACAGAUAAAUAACUAAGAUAUAUUAGUCUUUUUAAAAAUUGAUAUCCUAAUUUUAUAUUUUUUAUAAAUUUAAAAUUAAUACCUAACGAAUUUGCAUGAUUUAAAAUCAAGAAAAAAAUCUCUAUCUUUAGGUUUUUCUAUCUAGCGACCUAUGUUUAAAAAUUUUUAGCAAAGCAUUUCAUUUUUAAAAAAUGAUCAUUAUUAUCCUUAUUGGUAAUUGCUUUUUAUUGUGUCUCCAUCUUGCAUUUAGUUGUCUCCCCUAUUGCCUCUCUUCCCUCUCCUAGUCACCUGCGUUUCAGUGCACGAGUUGCCAAGUAACAUUGCCCCACCUGUCUCCCCCCAUUCUCUCUCUUGGCCAUGCUAUGCCUCUGCAUGCGGGCUAGUAGGACUUAUCACUUCUCUCUUAUCCCUUAGCUAUAUGUGUUUUCGCAUAAGUAGGGUCAACAAGCCAGGCACCUAAGUACGAGCGAAAGUAUGGUUAGUAUGGGGGCUACAACGAAAUUUUUUUUAAGAUUAAAGAGAAAAUUGAUCUUUUUAUAGCAAAGGACACACCUUGAGAAUUUUCAAAUUUAGGACGUACUAAAAGAAAUCUCUAAAAUUAUGAGAUUUUUUUAAAGAAUUUUCAUAUAUAUAUAUAUAUAUAUAUAAAAUCUACUUGGGAAAUUAUAAAAUUACAACCCAAGUCACGUAGGAAGAGUAAUAUACUCGAUGAUACCUAAAGUCACGACUCGACGCGACCCAUCCGCCAUCUCAACGUCCUUACGUGCCACGCUGGUGUGUCGCCAUUCGAAUGUAAUACAGAUCAUGGUUUAGAAAUCGUUAAUUGAAUCGUUAGACGUUUGGGAGUCACCAAUUAAGUCACACUGCACAUCCGACGGGAGCCAUCCGUCCGCAUGCCCGUAACUUGAAUCUUGUCUUAUUUUAAGACGCGACUCAAGCGGCCAAAAUAUAACCCCCGGAGGGACAGAACACGAAUCCCAAGCCCCUUGCCAUCUCUCUCUCUCCUCACGCCUUGCAAGCAAGAGAGAAGACCGGAGUAGAGAGAGAGAGAGAGAGAGAAAGUGAUCGUUCUUUUCCCCCUUUAGCUCACAGAUUUGCAGAGCAUCCUUUCCUCCUCAAGCUCACAAGAACUCCGCAUCUCUGUCCGCUGUUAAUCCAAGCAUUCCCCUCUUCAUCACGGCAUUGAUCUAACCCGAGUCCUUGAUCGGAGAUCACCGCCCGCCUUCACCGGUCGCGCUGGAAGGCGUCGAGAUUUGGGCUCUCUCGGUGCUUUUCUUGAAGAGACCGCAGAGGUCGCCGAACAUUACGUCUACUUCGGGGUUUUGGUUCAAGAUCAUGAUUUGUUUGUCGCUCCUUUGGGGAAUGGCUUGCAGAGUGUAGAGGAUGCCUGACAUAGAUGGGUAGAAGUGUGGUAAAUCAACUAUUCCUUUGUUUUGUUGCUCCAAAAUUUGGUUGGGGAGUUGAUCGAAACUUGCACGAGAAUAAGUUUGGAUGCCUUUUCUAAUGAGGGCGAUGAAUGUCAGUUAUAGUUCCCAAAAGUUUCUGUUUCUGAACUCUUAGAAACGAAUCGCCUUUUCCAUGGUAAAUUGCCGCGCCGUAGGGGUUGUGAACCUGACGUUAUGUUUCUUUACUUAAAAGCUUCGUGAGUUUUUGAUGCAUUCUUUCAUAAACGUAAGGUUGAUACCAGAAAGCUUCUUUAUAUUGUGAGAAAUCUUGACAGCUUAGAACUGUAAGCCCCAACCAAACAACGACUCUGUUUUUUUAUCUGAACCUUUUCUCCUGGCAGUCCUUGUAAUUCCUUGAAGAGGAUUACAUUGUAAGAGCAUUCCACAAACUUGGGACAUGACGACUUGUAGUAGCUUUCUGUUGUUGUAGGAACACGUUGUAAGACUCCUUGCUGAGUUUUCUAAAUUAAGGUCAUAAUUUUUGAGUUGACAAAUUCAUGUAUAAGCUCAACUUAUUUAUCUGUGCCUUACUGCAGAUUUGCUGGACUUGAUGCUGUCUUAUUCCCCAUGAAACAAGAAACUUCUUAAUUCUAAUACUAAUGGUAAAUAGAUGCCAUUCUCUUUCUUAUUUUUUGUCCUUAUGUUAAUCUUUAUUUUUUGGUAUUUUAAUUCAGUUGAUUCUGGCUUCAAUUUGGCAGGAUUCCAGUAGAAUAGGAGGAAACAUGAGCCAUAGUCGCCAGAUGGAAGUUCAUUAUAUAGAUACUGGAUUUCCCUACACUGUUACAGAGAGCUUUAUGGAUUUGUUUGAAGGCCUUAUGUAUCCUCAGACCGAUGCCAAUUCAGCAGAAGUUUUUCAGGAUCAGGUAGUUAAAGUAAUGUAGCAGUUCCAUGGCUGUCCGUAUUAACUUAAAUUGAUCUUAUUCUUUGCUCACACCAGUUACUGAAUGCAUGAAUUUUAGAGUUGACAUUGGGUUUUUUUGUCAAUUGCAGCAAAAAGCUGAUCCAGAUUAAUUUUGUUUUUGUGGCAUUUAAUUUUUGACUUCUGUUAAUUCAAUGGUUAAGUGUUAUUAGGUUUGCAAUAUCUAUAAAUACUUUGGAAGAUUAAACUACUUUGGCACUAUAUUUGUUGUAAUUAUGAAUUGAUUAAUGCUAAUAUAGUAAUGUUUCAAAAAGAGAAAAUGGUUUUGCAUCCUUUCUUAGGUAACUUUUCACCUUUCUAUUCAAAUUGAUGAUCACUUGCCUUGCAAAAAAGGAAAACACAUGGAUUCAUCCAUUUCCUUUUUCCGAAAGGAGAUACAAAUUUUCAGAGAUAUUUGUAUUAGCCUAGUAUGAGGCUCCAGCCAAUGUGGGUUAUGGUUUUAUUUAUAGUGUAUUCUUGAUGAUGUUUUCUGCCAUCACUUAAAUGUCACUGUGAAUCUUAAUUACCAAACUUAUCACUUUAUGCCUCAUCCAGUUCUCAUUCUUGGAGGAAUUGGUUUCAUUUUCUUUCCCAUAUUUUAGGAGUAAAACUUGUAAAUCAAUAGCAAUUUAGUGGUUUGUGGUAAUCUGCAUAAUUCUUAAAUUGGUGAUCAUAUGCAGGGAAAUGCAUAUCACUCAACAGUUCAUACAAGCUCAUUCAAGUAUGGGUUUUCUAGUGCAGCUAGUGAUUCAUAUUACAGUUUCGGCCAUGCGCAUGAGAUAAAUUGUUUUACUCCACAAUUAGACGCAGCAAGGAGGAUGUGGGAUGACCCUGCCCCAUUGAACAUAUUUGACUCACCACAACUAUUUCUGCAUGGGAAUUUAGGUGUGGAAACAAGAACUCCUAGUGCCGAAGAAUGUAAGUUAGACCUGGCUUUUCUGUUUAUCAUGUCUGCCAUAUCCAUUUAGUAUACCUGCUUGAAAUUUGUUAAAUCAUGGAGACAACUCUGGGAUUAUGUGUCCACUUCUGAGAUCCAUGGUGAUACUUUGUAUUAUUGAUCUAAUGCUUAAUACUUUUGUUGUAUUGGUUUGAGGCCACAUGUGCUUUUCAAGUAACUCCUUUUGAAUAGUGAAAUCUCCAGCCAUGCAACUUACAUGCUGUUUUAGUGAUGUCUUCUUUCUGAUUUGUGUUACUCACCAAACAUUCAACUUCACAUGCCUGUAAUUCUAUCUACCAUCUGUGUGUUGCUAUUGUGUGUCAACCAUAUCAUAUCCAUGUGAAUUUGCUAUUGUUUAGGAACCAUCAAGGAUGUUCCAUAUAUAUAGUUCACUUUUUGUUUAAUGCAUGUGAGAUGCUCAUGCUGUUCAAAUACUCAGAGAUUUGGUUGUAAAUCCUACCGAAAAGGAAUCUACUGACUAUAGAACUCAUUGGAAGGGUGCUAAAGGCAUCAUCUAAGGAAAGAGGACUAAAUUAGCAUAUAAUAUAGGAAUUUGAAAAUACUUGAAAUGUAUUAUAUUGAAAAAAACUAAGUUCACAUAUGGAGCCCCAACAGUGUUCACCUCAUAUGGAUGAAACUUACUGUUUUGAUAGGUUGCGAAGAUUGAAACAGAGGGGUCUUGGUUCUUGUUACAUAGUCUGCUCCCUUAUCUGAAAUUUGGACCUUUUAAACCAAGCAAACCUUUUCUGAAUCCACUCCAGUUCUCUAUAUUUUAGAACUGAGUUCCGAGUCUUUGACACUAUGGUUACAUGUCAGAAAUGUGAAAGAUUGCGCAACCGCAAUCUCCUUCCUAAAGGACUACCCACCACUCUACCACAUAUGGUCAUCAGAGAUGAAGCUGGAGCAGAUCAAAAGUAACGUGCUAUCCUUCUAUUGCAAAAUCAACCAGUUCCAUCUUUUUUUUAUUCACUUUUUUGUUCUUUGUUUCAGUGGCAAACUGACUGCUGGCUAGAACAACAAGAUACAUUUCAAGCUGAUUCUCACCCUUUGUGCUGUCGGAACUUGAAUUUAGUAAAUUGGAUAAAUCUCACCUGAGUUGAACCUAACCAGUUCUUUAGUGGUGUAGAAAACUUAAAAUUGAACCCAACCCACCUAAUGUACAGUAACUUUACCCGAUCACAUGACCUAUUUAUUAAACAUAUUGUGUUCCAUUGGAUGAUCCAAAACAUAGCACAAUUAAUGGCUUGCAUCAUGAUUUGUUUCACUUGCAGGACCUAGCUUGACAUGUUGAACACCACUGAACUAUUUUUGACAUGAAUUGUCCAGAGUCGAUUGACCUAAACCAGACACAUUUGAGAUCAUAUCCUGAAAAAAUGGUUUCACAUUGAACUCGGCUAUUAAAAGGGUCAGUUUGGGUAAGUCAAAUCAGUUUUCUAGCCUGAACAUAACUUGUUAUUGAUUGGGUUAAUCAUGUAAACCUAUUUAUGGCCUAGCACAUCUAAGCUCAUAUCAGACCUGCUAAAUCCAUGUUAGAUUGGCAUGUCAGUCCAAAAAUUUUAUCAGAAUAAAAAGAGGGCAUUCCAAACUGCUUAGAAAAUGAUCGAGCAAGGAUGAGCACAUUGAGCAAUGCUAUUUUAGUUCAUGUACAUUCUAAGGUGACUUGUAUUUUAACAUCAUUCACCUAUCAGUGGUAACAUGAGUAAUCUGAAAAAGUCUGAUCAAUAUGAACCAGCACGCAAAUGCAAGUCCAUCUUUGGAGAGUUAUGAUGAUGUAGUAUCAAGGGUGAUUAAGGACUCGGUGCUUGCUUUCUUCUUUGUUUUUUUAUCAUGUUCCUAGAAAACUGACUGCAUGGUGAAUCUGAACAAGUUCUUGGCCACUGAACUAGUGAUGGAAUUGAAGGUCUGUUAGUCAUUAGUUUAUAUGCAUAAUGCUCUAAGCUCUUCUUUUUUAAUCAUAGGCAUUCAGGUGCGAGAGAAUACAAAUGAUGGUGCAAAUGGUGGUCAGGUUAGGAGCUCUUUCAUAUGCUUUAUAGUUUCAACUAUAAAUUAUGUUAUUAUCAAAUCUUUUAGUUUGGAACUUCUUUUGUACGUUCUUUCAUACCUCAGUAAUCAGUUACUGCUGAUAUUUUUUGUUCAUCGAAUACCAUUAGCUAUGAAGCUCUAGUUGUGUUGUUUGUCCACAAAUUUGGAUUUCUGUAAUUCAGUCAAGACAUCUUGGAUCAAGUCUCACAUACUCUGGAAGCCCAUUCCAGCUGAGAAUCAAGAUUCAUUUCUGUUCAUUAAUUAGUUUCAUCAGGGUUGUCAGUAAAAAGGUUAUAAUUGCCAACUACCAUGCUAUCAAAGUAUAUAUUAAUUUUCGUUAUUACUGUUGCUUGUUGGUUAUUCAUUUGCUAUGCAAUUGAGAUAGAACUGGAUGAUUACUAAAUUUUGCAUUUGUUUUAUAAAUAUUGAUGGAACGUCUAAAAAUAUGAGUAUUUGUUGAUUGUUGCAACUAGCUUAUGACAUCAGAUUAUUGCUUUUCCGAUCAUCAUGAAAUAGAUAAUCUGAAUUCGGCUUAUAUGUUGCUACGAUAAACUUUCCUCAUUGUCGAUUGGCUGGUUGUACCCAAUUAAGCUAAUUCCUUCCACAAAACCUGGAAGUAUGAUCCUUAGGAUUAGGUGGUAACUUAUCACUGCCUCACACUUCUGAACCCACCUUUGUAUAUCCAGUGUUUCGCUGAUUUCAGUGCAGAAGAGCCAACAUCAUUUUAUUUAUUUUUAAUUAUUGUUUUUGUUAGCAUACCUAGAGAAUCAACGUCUUUAAUCAUAGAUUUAGGCUCUGUUUACAGAGUCUUAUCAGCACACAACGAAUUUGAUCUGCAGGACAUCAAAUAAGUAGAUGCCUUUCAGAUUAAAAUUAAAAAGCAGCAUCUAAUGAGGAAACUUUCACUGUACUAGUUUCUUCUUGCUAAAUUAGAUUAUCACCCAACCUGGCACAAUAUUUUUAAUCCUUAAAUCUCAUGCUCAAGAUCAUUAUAUAUGAAACCAAAAUUUGAUUAUCGAGAAGAAAAGACAAGUUGGUUAUAAGAGCAAAAACUGCCUGUAGGACUGUAUCCUAUAGCCUUAAUUUAGAAAAUUUUUGAUAUGACUAUUGAUAAUGUUAAUAUCCAACUUCUGAUGUUAUGACUUUAGAUGUGUAUUUCUUAGUCGUUGGAAUGGAGGUAGUCAACAACAUCCUAUCAAUCUAUUAAGAUGAAGUACAAAGCACUGGAGAAUUAUCUACAAGGUUCAAUUUCAUCUCCUCUGAAACAAAUUUUAUCCUAAUUAUCUUUCUGGGAGCAUACUGUGAUUAAUGACAUCAUGGCGACAAUGCAUGAGACAUCAAAGCUUAAAAGAGAGCUGAAAGACAUGAUUGAGCUUCAGAGAGUUCAUUUAGGUUGUGCAGUACAAUUGCAACAGUAUGUCACCUGGAGAAUUUACACUGUACUGAUGGCAUGCGGGCACAUCUUUAUGAGAAAUUUGAUUUGUGCUAGCAUGUGUUACUGGUGCUGCAUGUGGUGAAUAUUAGAACCUUGCGGGAGAUAUAUGUGCUAGUUUCACAAGGAACACAUCUUCCUUGUUGACUGUCGUUAAAGAACACUCAUCAUAGUUUUCCACUAUAGAGAACUAGAAAAUGAAGGCUGAUAAUGCUGCUGCUUUCUUUAUUCUUGCAUCAAUGUUCUGUAAGAUUUGCAAAUAUAUUUUCUCAUUGCUUUCGCUUGGCUUAGUAUAUAUUCAGUUAUUCUCAUGAUUUUAAGCACAACUUUGUUUUCAUUUGUUAAAUAAGGGGAUUGUUUUGUACUCCUUUUUCAUAGCUUUACUUGUGCACUUUAACUGAUUAAUCCUAUUCUUUUGUGGUUGCAGGCUGUUUGGCAGGACAACAUAGACCCAGACAACAUGACAUAUGAGGUUUUCCAUUGAUCUCAUCAAUUUUUUCUAAUGUCUUAUAUUCCUUUAUGAACAUAUUAGAUCUUGGUAUUCACUUAUGUGAUUUAUCAAGAUAAUAAUUUUCUGAUGAAUGAAUGUUCACCAAACAACUAAUGACAAGUUUACAUUGACAUUUUACAUAUGUUCUAUGUUUUUUGGUUUAAAUAUUAUGUGGAGGGAUUAUCAGAGCAAUGCUUGCAGGAAGGACUGUCUUCAGAUGAUAGAUGACACCACAAUUUAGUCCCAUAUCAGAUAGGAAGGAGAUUUAAAUUGAUCUAUAAAGCUAGACUGGACUAAUCCUGUUAAUAACACCAUAAAAGCGAAUUCUAUUUGCUGAUCUAAUCACUUGUCACUCCCACAUGACAGUUGUAAAGGACAUUCACGACUUUAAUAUUGACUAAUAUUUUAGUUACCAUCCAAGCCAAUCAUCCAGCUGGAGAAUCUAAUUUAUAUGUAGGCAUCUGAUAUUUCUACCAUUUAUGAUAGAUUAUGCAUUUUCAAUUUUAAUGGUAUUCUGGAGGUGUAAGAAUGGCCAAAUAUUAAAUUUGCCUAGUAGUUUACACUAAUGUUCUUUAUAUUUCAAUCUUGUGUUAGUUUGCAUUUGCAAGAGACCUUUAUAGUCAUUCUUCAAUAAUUUGGAAGAGCUCUUGUAAUGCCUAUAUGUUGGACGAGUACAUGUAGUAUCUCAAACUAUCAGGAUCUACAUGUCCAUCUCUCAUUUCAACCAGUCCUGUUACUGCAUGUACAUAUCAUUAUAGUUGAACUUGCAUGCACACUAAUAUUCAGGACACAGAUUUGGUCAUUAUUGAAAACAGGAGCACCAUUUAGAAUGAAUAAGAUAUUUUACAGAAUUAUUAUUAAUGCAAGUAAUAAUGGGUAGAGGAAAAUAAUUGUUCCUCUUGGUACACUAUAAGGCCUGUUAUUUGCUCUCAGAGCAUAAUAGUGUUUCAUAUUUAUUGGUAUUGUUUGUACUUUUCUCAAAGUUUUUGCCAUUCUCAUCCGGCAUCAGUAAUUUUCCUUUGGAGUAUGCUUUUCACAUUGGCAUAUCAAUUUAAACUUUGGAAUUUAGCAUGCAAUAACCUGUUGGUCACUCUUCAAGUUCUUUUUAUUCCCCUUGAUUAAAAUAUCUGAACAUUUUUAUCAAUUAUCAAAAUAAUAAACAGGAGUUACUUGAUUUGGGUGAGGCAGUUGGAACACAGAGCCAUGGUCUUUCUCAAGAACAAAUUUAUUCACUUCCUGUCUCAAAGUACAAGUGUGGCUUCUUUUCUAGGAAAAAAUCUCAGGGGGAGAGGUAAAGUUCUGGUUCUUAUGUUUGUUUAGAUGAUGAAGAUUCUUGUCUUUGUUUGCUACACAUGAAAAAAAAAAAAAAAAAAGAGCCUCGAACUCCCAUAUGAUUCCUGAUUUAUAUAUGUAGUUUAAUGGACAGAUUCAAAUACCGAUUGUAUAUGGUGAGUAAUGACUGGUAUUUACUGGUCCAACCAAGGAGCAGUAUCGGACUCAAGUAUCGGACCAUAUGGUUCAUACCAUAUUAUUUUUGUUAUUUUUGUGGACACUGGAUGGUACGAGUUGAUAUACUACCCGGUAUACUGUUAUUGUACCAGUCUGUUAGAUUACCGAAACUGGCAUUGGACCCCAAGUUAAAUCCUUGGUUUAAUGUGAUUCACCUCAUAUCUCCUAUUGCAUUGGUUCACAUUUAUUGGAUUUAAAAUCUUUUAGCAAUUUUUUUGCUAGGAAUAAUCCCAGCCUGCAAUGCUGGUAUUGCAUUUGGAACAAUCUUAAUUUUGACGUGGUUGAUGUUUUGGAACAUUUAAAGUAGUUUUUUUUGGGGGGGGGGGAGGAAUGAACAAAGGAAACAUAAUGAUAGUGCCUGAUCUUUUGUGUUGGAUUUGCAACUUGUUGAUUCACUGUGAGCCCACUAAUGCUGCAUUCAUCAGUCCAGACUCCACACCUCAUUACCAUUAUAGAUUGCAUUGUUUGGUAAAAGCAACAACUGGAAGCAUAUAAAGGGUACUAAUGCUUGUAUGAGUAGCAUCUGGUUGUAAGCAUAUAAAGGGUAUUAAUGCCAAGCUUUUACUCUGAAGAUCAUGGUGUUUUGCAAUGUACCAUGCUUCUUUUGUUGUUACCACCAGAUCAUGUCUCUCAAACCAAAUAUUCUUUCUAGCACUCGUUUAAAUGGAGCAGAAUGUUGAUUUGUAUGAACACGUAUAAAGAUGGAUUUAAGUGAUAGGAUCAGCCUUCCCCUUGUAACAUAACCUACACACGAAGAUUACCAAGCCAUCUGUAAUUCGUCUUUGGUUUUGGUUAACUACGACUCUUUACAUUUAUUCUUGAAGUGGACCAAAUUUUUAUAUGAAAUAUCUACCAUUAACUUCAUUUGAAAUUUCUGAAAGUCCUAAAAUUACUUUAUAUGUGCCAGAUGCAUCAUUUGCCAGAUGAACUACAAGAGAGGGGAUAGACAAAUUACUCUUCCAUGCAAGCAUGUCUAUCAUGCUAAUUGCGUGACACAGUGGCUUAGCAUAAACAAGGUUAGCAAGGAUUUCACUUUGUCAGUUAAUACAACUUUGUGUAUCUCCCGGGUGUAACCGAUCAGAUAUUUUCUUCUUGUAGGCAUGUCCAGUUUGCUUGGUGGAGGUCUCAGUUGAGGAGCCUAGGCGUCAAUGAAUUCUAGUCGGCGACUUGCACGGAAGUUUUUGGCUAUUUUCAUCACUUAAAAUUGCAUCUCUUUUUCUGUUUUUUUGCUUCCCUUUUCUAUUUCAUCUUCAUGUUUGCAAACAUGGAACUGGACCAGUUACACUGUUCUCCUUCUGUCUGGUGUGGCGCAAGGAUCAUGGUAGGUUAUGAUCAAGUAAAUGCAUUUAGGCCCAUGUUAAUUGGAUUCUGUUUGGCCCUAAAAGAUUCUGCUGCUUUAGUUAUGUGUUAUCUUUUUACUAGGAUAUGUCCUUCAUUUGAUCUCUGAAGACAGAGUUCCUCAGUUCUUGCUCCUAAGGAUUUCAUGCUUUACAGCUUUUGCAGACCACCCACUUGGCAAUCCAUCUGAUGAGUAAAGGAAGUUAAAGAUUCCUGAAUUCAUUUCCAGAGAAUGCAUGACGGAGGAGUCGUCAUGACGAUAAAGUUCUAACAAGCAGAUGUCCAUCUGCCCUAAUAUUUUGUGGUAUCAAUUCAUAAUAUCAAUCUUGUGUGUUGAAUUGUCCAUCUCAUUGUUGAUCUGUAGCUCCAGAGUCAGAUUGGUCUUGGAGAUAAAUCCGAGGUGCCAAAUUUCUUGCCAAGACAAACACUGCAUUAUCUAUGACUGUAGUUGGCACCCAUCUCAUAUUGUUUGCGUGUGUUUUUAGUUUUUUUUAUUAUUGAAGUCAAGUCAAGCUACAAUUGACUCUGCUGGUUUAGACCCAGUAAUCCUUGUCCUGAAUCCAAGCCUACCUGAUUGAUUGUGUGCUGACACAAAUUUAUUUGAUUCGGACAAUUUGUUACAGGGUUUCCAUCCAUCUUGACAAGAUCAGAAGCAGCAGAUGAUGCCUCUCGAAUUCAGGUUGUAGGUAAACUGUGAUGCCACAGCUAAAGAAUGUUUGAGACUUCCUAUUUCCUAUCAUUUUGUCUCCCAAUUUAGCUUCAUUCUUGUAGUAUCUAUUUCCUAUCAUGUUUACACCAGCAAAACACGGCAUAUUUCAGAGGAGAAAAACAAGCAAAUAUAUCCAUGUUAAUAAAAAUCCUGAAGAAAUAAAAGACAUGUAAUAACAUUAAAGGAGGUUGUUUCAUAAGCUUUCUCAAGAUUCAUGCUAAUGAUAACACAUAUCCUAGAUUUAAUAAUUAAUUGCGACCACAUCCAUAGUCAUGAAAUCAAGAAGCAGUAGGAAACCAACAUGGGUUCUAUGUGACAGUAGCAUUGCAAUAUUAGUUUUGCCUACCAAUUUGUUCUCCAAGAUUUCAAAAGCAAGGCUGCCUUGAUUUCACAUACCAGAGAUAGAAUGACAUGGAAGAAGUUUUGAUAUAGUCUCCAUGCCAAAAACCCCUUCUCAAGUAACUUUUUGCUUUGGACCAUUGGAACAGAGGGAAGUGCAUUUCCAUGACUCAUCUGAAUGACAGCAUACUACUAGUAAGAGUGAAACUGCAUCUUCCACAAUUGCCUACAUUUGAAUGACAAGAACAGCUGUAGAUUAAACAUAAAGGUUUAGAUUAAAAAAAAGUAUGAGCAUAUAUUACCAGUCACAACUGAAGGUCCAACAUGGUUGCUAUUUUUGAUGGACUGGCUAGGUGUUUCAAUGCUGCGACGAUUGUUUACUCUUUCCUUGCUCGGUUCCGUGCAGCUCUGGCCGUGGUUGAAUGCUCGGAUUGAGAAAAACGGAUAAAAAUGUGCAUAAUCAUAGUUACCAUUAAUAACGCUGCUGUGGUGAGUGCAACUCCUUUCCAUGUUGACAAGAGUUCAGUCCAUUUGAAGAAUCUGAAGGUAGCAUAUGAUAGGAGACUAAACCAAAAUGCCACGACCUGUUCGACUCAAGUUAAAUUAUCAAGAAAGGCAAAAGUGAGAUCCAGAAUGAGUCAUCUAAUAGCAAACUCAGUAGGAAUACUAGCAUCUUUAGAGAACAAAUUUAUCACCUCAAUUAAACAAUCCAUUCAUUUUGUGCAAAGAUGAUUUCCAUUGUCCAGUUUCUUUAAUCAGACAAAGUUCAGAGCAAAUAGAGAAGGAAAAAAACCUGGAAUCAUAUCAUAUCAUGAUAUUUGCAAUCUUAGACUCAAAUGCACAGUCCAUAUCAUAUCAUGACAUCUGCAAUAUUCGACUAGAACGUAAAGCCUUGGAAUCGUGAGCUUCUCAUAAGCAAAAGCAUUUUCAGCUACCUCAUUAUUCUCCUAGGUCAUAAACUAUCUAGACUAAUACACCACAAGAGAGCUGCCUCAUCGAACAAAGUUUCAACUUGGAAAAAAACAAAGUUGGAUAGAGCCUCAAUUUAAUCAUUAUAUGAUUUUUUUGAUAAUCCACUCGUGAAGAAAGUCCUGUUAUUCUUCAGAUAUAAAAUGGGACAGAGAUGAGAAAAACAUAUCUACCAUCAUAAUAUUAGAAGACAAUUGGGAUCCAUCUAAAACUCUAUGCUGACAUUUGCAGCUUCUUGGCUUUCUAUCAACAGAGGCAUUGUACAAAGACAUACAAUGCAACCCGAGAAAGCUGCUUUCUACUUGCUGAGGAGAGUUUCACCUUAGAGUGAAACAAUUUGACAAACACAUUAUGAUGUUGCAAGUUUACAAUGUUAACGGUCUUAUCUUGUACCAAAUAUUUUUUUUCUUUAUAUAACUUGUUUUAUUUAUACUGCCAAGAUGAGUAAUAUAUUACCAGCAAAGACUUCAUAGGCCGACCAAUUUGUCUUUGUUCAAUGCCAAAAGUACCCUCUGAUUGGUAUCUAUCCAGUAAAGCAUCCUGCCAGAGAAAUAAGUUCAAUGAUACAAUGAAAGGAACACAGAUAAGAAUCGUAAAGCAGCAGGACAUCAUUGCACAAAAGUGAAACCAAGAAUAUGUGACUAAAUUGCACAAUUUUAAUCACCUAAUAGAAACAAAAGAUCCUCAGAACUCUCGUAAAGCAUUGUGAGAAAGAAUACAUGCCUUAGCCACAAAUAUGUCUUUACACCACUGUGCCACUCCCUCAUCUGUUUCAGGCAGAUCGGUCAUUGCAUGGCGCUUCAUGUGGACAUAUACCUGCAAUCACAUAAGUCUUAGACAAGAACAAACUUGAAAACAGAUUUUGUUAUUACAUGAUACCAGUCCCUUAUUUUUCUGUUUUUAAUAAAUCAUUGAUAGAUCUUAAUAGCUUUCUCUCUCACCUCUUCCCCUAGCCUCCUCCUCUUCCUUCGCCAUCUCCUAUUCUUCUCCUUUUCCACCUCCUCCUGUUUAUCUUCCUCUCCUUCUCUUUCACUAUCUCCUCCUUUUCUCUGCUCCCUCCUCUUCUCCUAGUUCUCUACUCCUCCUCCGCCGCCACCUCCUCCUCCUCUACCUCCGGAUUGUCAGCACCUCUUUGUCAUUCACAUCACUGCCACUUUGUCCUCGCUGGUGUCACCGUUGCUGCCUCUUCAUCCCCUCUUACCUCCCCCACCCCACCCCCUUGGGUGUAUGUGCGCGUGCAGGGCCAGGGGAGUACCAAGUACCAACUGCUACCAACCCAUUACUGAAUGUUGUUACACAUGUGUAUGGUACUAUACCUGUCUAGUUAUGGACCAGUUUUGAAACCAAACCAAGAAUUUAGUCCAUGCCUUCUGACUUCUGAUAUACUUUUAACUUACAUCAAAUCUACAAGAUGGCUAUUACAGUAACAUAGAAAUAUCAUCCAUCCAGUAGCAAUCACAAAUAGCAUAAGAAAUUAACUUUAGAUCAAAAUGAUUAAGCAGUUCCAAUGAGAUCAACCAUAGUUAUACCCACAACUCAGUUCUCUCAGAAAUUAUCUAAACAUCAAUUUCCAUAGGAACACGUACUUAUCUUAAAUUGAUAACAGUUCUCUCAUAAAUUAACUAAACAUCUAUUUCCCUAGGAAACCUUGAACUUAUAUUAAAUUGAUAACCAUGAUACAGAAGUAACAUAUGCAUAUCAAUCACAUGUUACUCAGUGUAGCCCUAUCAAUAAUUCUUUGCUCCUUGACAUCCAAAAUUUCAGAAUCUGAGUUUCUUGGCCUUCAAAUAAAUCCAAGUAUUUUUAGAUGCAUUGCCUAAAUGCAACAGUGAACUGGGUUAGGGAGACACAUAAUGAUAGUGCAUAAUUUAGGAUGCAUACCACUGAAGAUUGCCCUUUCAGAAUCCUAAGCAUCGUUGGUGGAGGUUGAUCAGAAGGAAUAGCUACUGUUACGUCAUAGAUAGCAGGAACAAAGGGGCGCAUAAUGCUUACUGCUGAAACAAAACCCUGAAGACUAAACACAUGUCAAUACAUAUAUAGAUAUUUCAAUCUAUACUAAUCAAACCACAGAGAUACAAAAGAGUUUGCUAUCACAAUAGGAGAUAAAUAUUGAGUAUUCUGCUUUUGCAUAUCACCCCAUCUUGUAUCUAAGAUAUUCAAGCAAUAGAGCUAGUUUCAAGAUCAUCAAACACAGAAAUAAAACCAACAAAAGGAAACAGAUUCUCAUUGCAACAGUAAUUUGUCAAAAACUAAAAACAACCUUGGUCCGGGGAAUGAGAACAUUCCUAGGGAUAGGAAGACCUUGUGAAGCUGCAUAUUCUUGUGCUGCUAUAAGUUUUGCUGGUGUAAAACGUGUCCCCUCAACAAACAAAGCCAGCCAAAAUGGUCUAGGGAAGUCCUUCAAAUGUUGUAAACCCAACUGCAUGUCACAGAAACUCAAAUGAAAUAAAAAAGAACAAAAUCAAGAAAAGUGAACAGAGUACAAAAGAUGCAAAUAAAUAGUACCGUAAGUAUGUUCUCAUCCUUAGCCCAGCUUCUUUCAAGAAAGAGGUACUCAGUAAACCACAUUGACCAACCAAUAACCUGCAAUGAUGGUUCUAGAGAACUUAAUAUCAGAACACAGACUAUUAUGUAAUAAGAGGAUUACUCUAGAAACUUCAAAUGGACACAUAACAAAUGACUUUGUACUUCGCUAUGAAAAAAAAAUCUAUAUUUAAUGGCCUUGUGGGUACCAAGCAAAACAGACUAAUAAUAUAAGAAAAAAGUAAAAAAAAACAGAAAAUUAGGGACACAAACCAAAUAGAUAAAAAAACAGGUCUAGAUAUAUCCAGGGGUUGUUGCUGAUGGGAAAAAUGAAACUGUAACCCUGUCAUUAGUCAGCACUCUCCCGAAGCACAAGAUUGACAAUUGACAAUAAAGUUUUUACUUAAAAAAAUGAUGCAAUUGUACUAAAGCACAGAGAUCGCUAAUGGUCAAGAAUACAGGAGUACAUUUUAAACUUCAAAGAGUAUUUUUGUUCAAUAUUGACAGCGGUGGCCAACUCAACAAAUUUAAAACUCAAUCAUAAAGUUGCUGGAGACACUUACAUUCACUUUUGUAAAGUCAAGUGAAUUAGCUUGAUACUUCAUAAAAACAUCAUUUAAGAGUGCAAGCUUUUUUUCAAAGGACUACUUAGAGCUAUAGCAAGCCCCUGUCUUUUACCAUAAACAGUAACAUGUCUUGACUGAAUUCCUUGAAAAAAUAUCCAAGAUAACUGUGGUCCAAUUUUAUAAAAACAUCAAUCUAGCUGAACAGAAUAGCAUAAAACAAAAAUAAACAACCAGAUACUUCUCAUCUUAUCACUUAUAUCAUGUUAUAUAGCUGCCACCACCGUUUCAAGGCACAAGUCUCAUUUCGCCUCUCUCUUGUGAUUUGCUUGUGGCAAGAAAGAAAGAGAAAAAAAGAUUAAAACUUUUUUGAUAUUCAAAUUAUUAAUUGUUUUCAUAUUUCAGCUGCAGGAUGAAAUAUAGUUUUUUUGGUCUUGACAAUCAGCCAAAAUGACAUCUAUACCAGAAGGCUGGUCCAGUAGAUCAAACCAAUGAUGCCUACAAAAAUUGAUUAUGUUAUAAUAAUUUGGAUAAGAAAGACAACAGCUUCAUCAUAGAUGACCUAGUCCAGAAGAACUGUUUAAAUGUGAAGAAAGAGACAAAUGCCAAACUUUGUUACUUAUAUACUCACUGGCAGAAACUUCGAUGAUUUCUUCAUCACCGCUAAAGUGCUUCCAAGGCAACCUGAGCGCUGAGGUAAGGAAUAAUUAAAAGAAAAUAUACAUGUCAAUCGACAAUGACAAACAAAAUACUUUAGUGCGUUGUUUUCAACCACAUAAAUUCAUGACCAACAAAAGCAUGACAUGCAUAAUUGGAUUAAACCUAGCCGAAUUAUGCUUAAUCUUGUGUAAUGCACAAACAGAUACAAACCUGAGAUAAAAUCCAUCCAACAAGCCAAUCAAUGUCACUUUUGUGGUUGCAAAUGACAAGUGCAUGCUCCUUACCUGUAACAUGUUUUAAGGUUAAUGACAAUGAAUAAUAUUACUACACAACAGAUCAGACCCCCCAAAAAAACAUUUUUAUCUCUGAGAACAUCCUUACUUUCCUAAUAAGAAAAAGAACAAAAAAAGAAAACAAGAUCUUACCCAUCAAUUCAUAAGUUUUAGAAUCUGCAUAUAAUUGGACCUGCAACCAUGAAAAUACAUUAUACAUGUUAAACCUUUAGAUAUAGAUAUAAGCAGCAUAAAUCUCUUGGUUAUAAACAAGUAUAAAAAUUACAUAGCACAACAAAAUUAUCAGUACUAUGUUACAUCAGUACUGUAACUAACAAACCAAGACAAGGUAACGAAAAUCUGCCCUAUCUGAGCUUCUGGACCAAGCUAAAUAGAAGGUCAUCACUUGCAUUAGUUUUCGGAAAUAGUGCAUAACAAGGUAGUCAAGUCAACUGCUUCAGUAAUCAUAACUUGCGCUAAAUUUAACUACUAUAUUUUUUGCCUCAUCAACCCAGCCUAGAUGUGAAAAUUAUAGCUGCUAAUCAGCCUUUAAAGGACCCCAAACUAUGCUGAAAUGCCGUGCUACUCAGCCUUUAUUCUUGCUUCCUCGCUCCUUCUUCCUGUCCACUUCUGUGCCUAUUAUCACUCAAGGUAGAAAGGGACAAUCCUACUAGUCAAGAUAGCAAGAGAGAGUCCCUUGCUUAAGAUGUUGAAGCAAACAUUCAUGGGGAUGACCCUAAUAUACCAAAAAAUGUAAUAAUUCACACACCAAACAAGUCAUGGUACUACCAGAGAUGGUCAUAUCGCAAACAAUAGCCAAAGAUAUCUGAAGAUUUUAAGGAAGUUUACCUUAACACCAGCCCACCAAUCGACAAGCCAGAUGAGCUGGAGCCAUAGUAAUUCAGCCACCACUCUGUUAAUCCUCCUGAAGAGACUUUUCGAGAAAGGUCGUAUUGUGAUGUAAAUUGUCGCCUGCAGGGGCAAAAAUCAAAGGUAGAAAACAAGGACGCUCGCAAAAAAUCUGAAUAUGGAAAAAAAAAUCAAAUCUUUCGAAAAAUUAACAUAGCAAUAAAAAGAAUAGAAGAAGAUUGGAAAAAUAGUGAGAAAAAUACUCAACAGUCCAAAACUACGGGGAAAUAUGCACUUGAAUCAGCCUCUAAUUCAUCUUAUAACCAAAGUACAAGGAAAUCAUAAUGCCAGACCAAACUAAAAGCCCUAACCCCAACUACGAGCCAUAGCUGUUCGAGAAAGAACUCCAUGAAUCCAUCAAAUCCAAACCACCAAACCGCACAAAAGGAAACACAAACCCUCAAACGAUAAUAUCAGGUAUCGAAAGGAAAAGUAGGCCCACCUGAAUGAGGUUCACAAUUAGCCCCGACAGGAGGAACAGAAGGCCGAGGGGCACCACCACCAACGCCGCAGCCAUUGCCAUGGCCGAGAUCCGGCGGAAGAACAACAAUCGUUUCCCCUUUUGUCAGGAACCAACCGAACGAACAAGAACGGGAUAAAACCAGGGAUUAUUUUGGGUUUCUUGCGCUAUCUUCGCUGGGAAUUCUCCCCGCCGACAUCAGGCUCCGACGCAGCCACCUCACGCAGAGAUCGGGGGGCCGUUGGAGAUUUACGAGACGACGAAAGACCAGAAGAGGAGGGGCGAGACUCCGUGUCUCAGCCGAAAGAUACAACACGAGAGUCUCGGAUUUCUAUUGGUCAGAAUUGCGGGUCCCAGGAGAGUCGACCCGUGAUGACGCAAUAAUUAUAUAUCAAUUUCACACAAUUCAACGAAGUGCUAUUAUUUGCUAAUUACAAUAUCAUUGAUAAUGGUUUAUCCAUAUAUAUACAUAUAUAUAUAAUAUUAAAUUACACGCCCUACAUACGUACAUACAUACAUAUAUAUAUAUAUGUAUAUGUAUACAUAUAUAUAUAUAUGUAUAUAUAUAUAUAUAUAUAUACAUAUAUAUAUAUAUAUAUAUAUAACGUUGGAGGGGUAUGUGUGUAAUUUAGAAAAUAAGGGAUCAACAUAAGAGGUCCGAGAGGGCGGUGAAAUAAACCUGGCGAAACCUCAAAUCGUUUCGUCUCCGCUGAAACCGAUGGAUCCAUCGCAGCAGCAACAGUGGGUGCAAUCCCACCACCACCAAGCUUGGGCCGCCGCAGCCCCCCCCACCACUUCUUCCCACGGAUACCACCAGCCGGCCACCCUCGAGGAGGUCCGUAGCCUAUGGAUCGGCGACCUCCAGUACUGGGUCGACGAGAGCUACCUCCACAACUGCUUCGCCCACACCGGGGAGGUAUCGCUCGUCCCCUCCUUCCGUGAUUUGUUUUAGCGUUUAGCCCUGUUCCCUGACUAGCUUUUUUUGGUCUUGAAGUCUCCUUAGGGUUUCCGAAGUGCCGAAUUACGGAUUGCGUGAUGGUUGCUCAGCCUCUAGUUUGCGUAUAUGUUGCCAUUCUUUGUAUUAAAUCUGGGAGUUAAAUCUCUUCCCCUCCUUUCAAGAUUUCCUUGAGGGUUUAGUCCUGACACCAAACGAGUUCCUGGUCUUGAAGUUUACUUAGGGUUUUUGAACUGUGAAAUACGAGAUUAACGCUCAAAUUUUAGGUUACUUAGCCUCUAGUUUGCUUAUAUGUUGCCAUCCUCUGUAUCGUACACGGGGAGGUAACUCUCGACCUCUCCUUUCGUAUUUUUAUUUAGAGAUUAGCCGAGCCCCCUGACAGGUUUUUGGUCUUGAAGUUUACUUAGGGUGUACGAACUGUGAAACACUAGAUUAACACUCAGAAAUUAGGUUACUUAAAUCUCUAGUUUGCUUAUAUGUUGCCAUUCUUUGUACUUGAUUAUUUUCGUCAAGGGACGUUUUUCUUGUGUACUCCAUGCGCUUAUGAUAUGUGGACUUUGUUAAUUUUGAUGCGAAAUGUUUCCACAUGUCCAAGAUUUAAAGCUGCAGUAGUUUUGAGAAACAAUGGUAAUUGUCUUUAUUUGGUUCCACAGGGUAUCCAUGUCAUUGGAUCAAAUGUUGGUCCAUCUCUUUAGCAAAACUUGUCAAUCCUUGUAGAUUCUUCUUCUGUCUAGGUGAAUUGUGACUUUUAGGCUUGCAUAAAGUCCCUCGUUUGCUUAGAUUGGCCUAGCAAUUCACUAUUCAAACCAUCUGCUUUGGAGUUAUGAUGUUAAUUGUCAAUUGAUCGUGAAUGUUUUCCUCCUUCUCGAGACAACCUUCUUUAUUUCAUCUUCAUGCUGCUGUAUUUGAUGGGGGAAACCUUGGAUAACUGGUGUCUGGUUCACUUGGCAUGGGGUUAGGUUACUCCGUUGCACACUUGUAGUUUCUUGUUAGUACCUGUAGGUUUCACUGUUAUCACUUGUUUAUGCUGCUAUUGCCUAUACUCUGUGACUUUAGGAUUCUAUGAAUGAAAUUUUUUACUUAUAAUUGGUGAAAAAUUGUCUACGUAAUUGCAGGUAGUAUCAGUAAAAAUUAUUCGCAACAAGAUUACAGGGCUUCCUGAAGGGUAUGGGUUUAUAGAGUUUGUUUCACAUCCGGCUGCUGAAAGAAUUCUGCAGACAUAUAAUGGAGCUCAAAUGCCUGGCACAGAACAGACUUUUAGGCUGAAUUGGGCCUCCUUUGGAAUUGGAGAAAGGCGCCCUGAUGCUGGACCUGACCAUUCCAUCUUUGUGGGAGAUUUAGCAUCUGAUGUGACAGAUUACUUGUUACAAGAGACAUUUCGUGCCAACUAUCCAUCAGUUAGAGGUGCCAAGGUUGUCACUGAUCCUAAUACAGGACGUUCAAAGGGUUAUGGUUUUGUUAAAUUUGCUGAUGAGAUGGAAAGAAAUCGUGCAAUGACUGAAAUGAAUGGUGUCUAUUGCUCCUCACGGCCCAUGCGAAUAAGUGCAGCCACACCUAAGAAAACUACUGGUCUCCAGCAACAGUAUCCGGCUGCAAAAGGUAAUUUUAUGUGACAUGGAAUAUUUUUUACCAUGCAAAAGCAACACUACAACACAACUCUUGGAAAGAAAAUAAGGAGUAUGCAAAGAAUUCACAACUAGUGGCAACCUGGGUAUAUAGCUGGUUGGUAUGCUUGUUAAAUUUUUAAAUGGAUGUCACUUUGUUGUGUAUGUUUUUGCUGAUUAUGUCGGUGUUUUUGUUGACUUUUCCUUCUAAUCUUGAUCUGCUAUCUUGGCCUUUCAAUCUUUUAUGUUAUGCUUAUACCGACAAGGCCAACCAGUUUUUAUGUAUACAUGUGUUUUUGGCAGCUUUAUAUCCAGCUACGACAUAUACAGUGGCACAGCUGCCACCUGUUCCACCAGACAAUGAUAUCACAAACACAACUGUAUGUAAUUUGUAUCAUCUUCAGAAUUUAUUCAUCUUCUAUACUGGAACAGUCUUUAACUUUUCUGUUUCUGUCACAGAUAUUUGUUGGUUGUUUGGACCCUAACGUCACAGAAGAGGAACUGAAACAAAUAUGUUCUCAGUUUGGUGAUAUUAUAUAUGUGAAGAUUCCAGCUGGUAAAGGAUGUGGCUUUGUGCAGUUUGUAGCUAGGUAGGCUGGAAACUUGUGAAGCAUCAUGUUGUCUUUACUGCAUUAAUUUUAACAAGAUGAUCAUCUAUCUAUUUGUUAUCGCACUAAUCUAAAUAAGUUGACCAUCGACAUUAUUUAUGUGGUAGCUUCAUUAGGUUCGAGUAUCAUAUAAUUUGGAACAUUCUUAAAAAGGGCAUUACAAUCUUAUAUCUAACUAUGACCUGAACAUUCAGAUUAUUGAAUUUUUAAAUAUUUUGGUAAGAAAAUUUACUUACUAUUAAUUGUACAAUUCUACUUGCAAUAAAGUCCCAGGAAACACAUUAGUGUCAUACUCGUGCUCAUGGUUCCUAGGUCAAGAGGUUUUAAUAUAGCUGGUACUAUUUGGGCCAAGGCCGUAUUGGUCAGUUUCAAUAAGUUUUUAGUAUAACUGGAACUUUUUGGCCACAGCUGGUACUCAUGGACUUUUUUAUAAAUAUCUUCAAAUAAUAUCAAGUCGAAACAUUUUGAAUAUUCCAAAUGGCGUAUUGUAAAUGAAAACCACACCAUCUUAGAAUACAUUUAUGUAUUGAGCAUGAAAUUGGAUGUAUGUAUUUCUUAUGAACUUUUAAAGCUUUUGUGAACAUAUUUAUGAAUGAUUAAGAGUAAUAGACUUGGUGCCAAGGUAAACCCACUAUGAUAUGGAUGACCUGGUUUUGAGUGAUUAAAGCAGUUAUCCGCUUCAUGGAUCACUUUGCUUGAAUUGGCCGUUGCUGCAACCUGAAUUGAUAGGAACCUUGUGCACUAGCGGCCUCUUUUUAUCUUGGUAACUUGGAAAACUAUCAAAAGGAUUGAGUCAAAAUACGAAGAAAAUUUAGUAUUUUGAACCUUGGUUGUGACCUUAGAGAAUUAUACCUAGUCUCUUGACAACAUACUUGAACUAAUUUGUUUCUUGCUCUACUUCCUAUUUUAUGAUUAUAGCAGUGUUACAUGGACAUUCACAUCCACCUCUACAUAUUGUAUUGAUUAUAGUAUGGUGUUAAAUUAUUUGAUAUUUCUAACACCGCCGAUGAAUAUACUUUAUGAACUUAUUUUCUCUAAUGCUUCCCAUGACAUUAUAUAUCCUAAUCUGAGUCACUUGUCUGUAUCUCAUCAUAUAAUGUCAUCUCAGUUGGUAAUGAAUUCAUAAAUUCUCUAAUGAAUCUUAAUCAUUUCACAAAUAAAAUAAAAAAUUAUUCCAUUGUUUUGUUUUAUAGGGCAUCUGCUGAGGAAGCAAUACAGAAGCUUCAUGGAUCCAUGAUUGGUCAGCAAAUCGUCAGGCUUUCAUGGGGUAGAAGUCCAGCAAGUAAGCAGGUAAAUCAUGUGGUUAUUGCUACCGACUUACGUUCCCUUUUUGUUGAGGAUAAGUGUGAUUGAACUUUUUUUUUUUGUUUUCAAAAGUUGUCAUUUAUCCUGGUCAUAAGUCAGUGAUCCCUAACUUAAGAAAUAUAGGUCUUUAGUCUAUAGUACUUGUAUAAACAACUUUACUCUAAUUCUUGUUUCAUUUUCUUGGGAAAUUGAAUGAAGCAUGCAUGAUAAUUUCAUUUGGCAGUUUGUUACUAGAUUAUCCACAAGUGUGAUUGCUUUUGUUGCAGCAUUAACAAUCAUGGUAUGCAUUGACAUCUAAAAUUUCUUAACAGGCACAUAUCUUUUAAUUUAAGGAGUGUUUUGUAAUUGACAUCAAGCUUUUUACAGAGGCAUAUUACAUCAGUGUAUGCUAGUAUUUGUCAAGGUGCUGACGAAAGAUGGCUACAAAUUCUUUAUUUUCUAGAUAAGCAUGAUAGCAUAUUUGAUGUGUAGUGAGACCUUCUCUGACAUCCUUAUGCUUUCAGUGGUUUUGAUGCCCAACAGCCAUGAGGUUGUCAGUUGGAUGUCAUAAACUAUUAAUUUCAGCCCUUAGUAUUUUGUUACUCAGCUGAUUGGCAAGGCUUAUGGUCUUCACUCCAGCUCUUUGUCUAUGGCUUCUAAUCCUCAAUAUCUUGUAAUGAAUUGAUUGACAUAACUCAUUAAUCUCAUUUGGGCUUGCACCAAACAAUGUGAGGUUGGCAACUGUGACCAUUACUUUAAGAUGAGAAGGCGACAGUAGAAAGUUGAUCAGAACUUUGCAUUUGUAAGUCAAUCUCUAUGUUAGCUUCAUAAGAGCUAAUUCCAGUUCCCUAAUUGAAAAAAUGAAAGAAACUAAAGACUUGAUAUUUUUUGGUCUAGUUUGCUGUUGUUUAAGUUGAUGAAACAUGAAGGAAACUCUCAAUUUCUGAUUUGAAAGCAUCUAAACACGGGGGAUACUGUAAUUUAUAAUGUGAUAUUCAAAUACUUAGUUAUCCAAGUCUUUUGAGGCAACUAUAUAUCAAUCAGUAUGACCAGUCAACUAAGGAAACAAUGCUCACAUCUAGAAAGGAGAGAGUUGUUAAUAGUUGAUGUGACUGCCAUGGCAGAUUGAUGUUUCUUUAGGUUUACAUCAAUCUCACAUCAGUGCUAAGGAAACAAUGCUCACAUCAGUAUGGCAAGUGCUGUAAGAUCCAUCACAAUAAGUUAAAAUGGAAAUAUUGGAAUAUUUUUCAUUUUCAUGAUUUUAAUUUCCUUAGGUCAUCAUCUUGUAGCAUCAUGCCAAAUUAUCUAAUAUUUUUCUUCCUUUUUUCUUGACAAAAUAAAAUUGCAUGUCCACCUUUUGAUAUGUUUAUUUUUCAGAGGCAAGUGUCAAAUCAUGUGUCCUUAUGUUCUUCUAUCCAAUCAUUUUGCAGGACCCGACCAUGGCAUGGAGUCAGCAAGCGGAUCCUAAUCAAUGGGCAGGUGCUUAUUAUGGUUAUGGUUAUGAUGCAUAUGCAUACGGAGCGUCUCAAGACCCGUCCUUGUAUGCAUAUGGAGCUUAUGCUGGAUAUGGUCAAUACCCUCAACAGGCAAGAUUAACCACCUUCUAUGUUCUCUUCCACUAUCUUACUUGCACAUAUACUUAUUAGUUCCAACUGCAUGGUUGGAUUCUCUUAUGGAUGUAGUUUUUCGAUAAAUUGGUUAUCUGUUAUCUCGUCAGUUUUACUGAAGUGAUAUUAGAAGAUAUUUAAUAUGCUUUUUUGGAACAUAUCAUUGUUAAUAACUCAUUCAUCUAAGUUCAGUAUCUUCUGAUUCUUAAGAUAGGAUUAAUAUUUUUAUAAUAAAUUAUUUGUUACAGUAAGUUGAUGGAUCCAUAUGCAACUUGAACAAAUUGAUAGCUCUCUCUUUCUAUCCCUCUCUCUCUCUAUUCCUUUCCAUGUCUCCCUUUUUGAUGUUAUUUAGCCGUUUGACCAUGGACCAAUAAUAGACCAUAUGGAUUAGGUAUUGGUCGGUAUUUGAUUGUUUAUCAUUUUUUUCAUAUAGGUCAGUAUACUACCCUGGUAUAACGGUACCAUGUCAAUCCAUCCGCUUUCCGAAACUGCGAUCGACCAAUAUUCAAAACCUACACAUGCCAUGAUCCUUUGUUUCAUCGUACAUGAACAAUAAUAAUAUGUCCCAUGGUACUCGAUUUUGAUGUGGUGAGGAAGUGGGUCCGACCUUUGGAAGGGCAAGGAAUAAGAGGUCUGCUGCUGCUGUGCUGCCUGUUUGGGUAUUGAUAAGAGAACAGGUAAAUGCAGGAUUAGGCACAUCAUCAUCCCAAAAGUAAUUCAACUUCAAUCCAGUAUUGUAUGUGCGGGCACGUAAUUUGCCCAAAAGAGACUCGUCGUGACUUAAAAAAGCUCUUUUAGUGGUUUUUAUCUAUCUUUUUGUGUUGUUCGUACAUCAAAAGCACGUCAUAUAAUAAUGCUUAUUCGCUUGUAUUUCUGGAUCGUGUAGCCUUCACUGCUUAACAUUUGUCUACGGUGUUGUUUCUUCCAGGUCGAAUCUGUACCUGAAAUGACACAUAUGGUUGGUGCAGUUCCAAGCAUGGAGCAGAGGGAGGAGAACUACGAUCCCUUGGCCAUACCUGACGUUGACAAGUCAGUAGUUUUUCUUUAUAAAAUUUCUAUGGCUUGGGUUACUGACUUUUUAUUAUUAUUAUUUAUUUUGAACUUCCCCACACGAUACCUGAUAGUGUUUUUUCGAUUAACUCUAGGUUGAACGCUCAAUACCUCGCAGUUCAUGGAAACGCCAUGCUGGGGAGGCAUUUGUGGUUGAAGACCUCCCUGUCUUAAGCAGAUAUUUUCUGUGUCUCUGUUGAACAGCGAGAGUUAAUUUAUGGAUCUGCUUAAAAGAGCAAAGCAAGCAUGGAGAAUGAGCACAAAGUGUGGCGCAUGAUGGUAAUCUCAUGCAGGUUCUUCUCAUCCGUACCAAGUUUCUUCUAGCUCACAUACAGACGAAGAAAUAUGUCCGAAUUGGUUGAAUGAAUUGUGCUGCUGAGUACCAUAAUGGCCUGGCCUGGCCUGUAUCUCGAAUCCUUUCUUUCCCUAUCGAAUGCUAUGCUGUGAUAUCGCAAACUUUGGUUCAACAUCUACAUGGCUUUAAGUGGCAAUUUUCAGCCCGUUGGUCAAGUUUAUUUUGCUUUUGUAUGCACACACUCUUCACUCUCUUGAGGAACAUCAUCAUAAUUUCUUAUGCUUUUGGGAUAUGCCGUCUGAGUCUGAUGAGGUCUUUAAACCUGGUUUAAUUUAUAAUAAUUUCUUAUCCCUUCGAUUAAUCUAUAAUGACUACAACAACGGUAAAGGUGAUUUAAUUUCAACCGUCUGUUCUUAUCCUGGUAUUCAUCAGACUUUGUGCCUUUCAUGCUUGUAACUACCAAAACUUCAUCUUGGGGAUUUCAGAAAACUCUCCCUUUGCAACAUUAUGACAUUUGCCAUAAGAAAGUUUUUAAUAAUUACAAUCGUAUUUUGAUACUUAUAUCAACUAUUUACUUGGGACUUUCAGCGAGAAGGCCUGUGGGAAUUAAACCAACAGCUUUGGUUCGAUUCCGAAUUGAUCAAAAAUAAUAAUAAAAACCAAUUUUCUCUUAUGAGCCAUAAACUUACUCUUCCAACAAUUAAAUAAACAACUAAUUUAAGAAUAUUUUUUUUAAAAAAAAACAAUUCUGAUUCAAAACGAAACUGAGAUCGCUUGUAAAUGCCAGUUCCAAAUUCUGCACAACAGAUUCUAGUAACGGGUCAGGCGGACCUGAGAAGGUGGCAAAUACCAUCGCAGCGUAGAGAUAUACAUGAAGUGGAGACUAGAAAUCUUCAAGUUACUAAUAAUAACACACCUUAAAGCAUUAAUGGUUCAAAUAAUCUGGAAAAUAUUUUGCCUACAACCAAAUUUAGACUUUAGAUGUCAAAUUCUGAUUGUUUACCUCAGCAUUGGAAAAUUUGGGUAAGCCUUAUGUUGAUAUUGAUUAGCAGCACGAAACCCAAUAACAGGUGAUCCACAUUUCGUAUAAAUGAUUUCUUCAAAACCAAGGUGGGGCCGAGGGAACAUAUUCCACCUUUCAGAACGGGGCAUUUGAUUCUGCAAUAUGCAUUUCUUGGGAUGCAUGGAAAUUAGAACGAGUUUUUCAAACAGCUCUUAGAUUUCCCUCAUCCAUGUAACCAAGUCAUAGCAGCGUCGUCAAGUGUCUACCUCCAUCCAGCAUCUUCCACAUCAGCACAACCUGCAAGACAAAGGGGAUAUAAGCAAUGCAGAUCAUCUUAUCACUCGAUGAUUACAAAAUUAAUGAAACCAAUAGAUGAAAGGUUAAUUGCCAGACAGAGAAAGAGAGAGAAAGAGAGCAAACAAAAAAAAAAAACAGAACAAUUGCAUUAAUGGCUAACCCAGCAAGGAUUUAACUACAGUAUACAAUCACCAAUGGAUGAAACAAAUGCCGCUAGUCUAAACUACCAGAAGUUAAUACUACUGCUGGAGCCUUACUCCCUGAGGUUCCAAAUCCUGUUUUUGUUGAUUUCAGACCAAUAAGCAAAAUUUAAUGCUCAAUACUAGCAACAUCAAAAUAUCCAUCUUCUGCAUCACCAAAUGGUUGGUUUUUUUUUUAUGUUUGAUCCCUCUUCACAAGUAUACAUUAAAUAUACUUCACAACCAACAUCAGAAGGUACUACAAGAAAGUAUCACUAUAUGUUGAGAAAUAAAGCAUUCAGGACUUGUGUUCUGCAAAAGUUAAAUUCUAAGAUCGUAACGUAAAAUUUUAAAAUCAAUAUAGCUUACAUUUAAUAAAAAGAAGAGCCCAGACUUUUGGGAAUGAAUAGUGGAACCGAGUAGCACCUCAUCUUCUUUCCAGAGUAAUAAUUUAUAAAUACUUCGACAACCAAGGAAGUUCUGAGCAAUCUUUCAAGGCAAAAGCGACAUCAUCACUGCCAUAAAAAAAAAAUAGAACAAGUAUUAUAUCAGUUUUUAAAUGUAUCAAGCCGCUUGGUGCUCUUAACCAAAUAACUCUACUACAUUUCCCAAAAGAAUGAUGCUGAAGAAAGUAGCAAGUGUAAUUUUUUUUUAUACAAAUUAAUAUAAGUCUCUGAAGCUCUAUGCUUGACCCUGGGUCAAAUCAAAGAUAAUAAGGCAGAAGGAAAUGAGAAUAUAGCUGAUAGUCUACUAUCCAAAGGUCAUAGCUGGUUGUUUCAAGGGGUAUUGGUGUCAUUACAGAAUUGUUAAAUGAUAGACGUUGGAAACUUCCCAUGAUGCACACUAAUUUCGGAAGUCCAAAACUUUAUAUACGAAGAUCAAGUGGCAGCAGUAAAACAUUUUCACGUGUAUGUACAACCAAACUAAAAUCAAUAAACAGACAAAACCUUGAGUACCAAAUUUAUGACAAUUACAUCAAUGAUUUAUAAAGUGCUUAUAACAAAGAUAUUACUGUCCUAGUUGUAUUAAAAAGAUCAUAUAAUUCUUUCUUAUAAGUUACAUUUACCGGACAUAAAACAAGCGUUGUACCGUUUACAGUCUCCUAUAAAUUUCAAGGGCAUCAGCAUCAUCUUCAUCACCAUCUUCAUCAAAUAUGUUAACUAAACGAAGACAAAAAAAUGGUAGUAGGAAAGAACAUGGAAAUGGAGGUUUAAAUAGCUGGUUUUGGAUCCGAAAUUGAUCGAUCCAAUCAGCUCCAACAUAAGAGAGCACGAAAUUUAUAAUCAGAUGAUCAUGUAGGCAUUAAAUACCAUUGAAAAACUUGAUGCUCAUCACUGUUAUUACCCUCUAUUAGUAUCCUUAGGAGUUCUUAUGUAAGAUCAUCUAAUAUUUCAAGAACUGUGUGCUUCACAAGAUAAAAAUCUGACAAUGGCAUUGUAGGAAUACUGGCAGGUGAAUUACAUGCUAGGUUUAAUUUUGCAUAAAUUCUAAAACUGUCAAUUGAGCUAACAUGCCCAAUCUUAUGAUGCCAUAAGCAAUCUUGCAGUCAACCAAUUUUCAUCCAAAAUUGCAUACAAUUUUCGCUGUAUAGAACAGACAAAGCCAUCUUCGUAGCCAGCAAGAUGACUUGCAACUUCUGUAUCAAUAUUUGGUCCAACAAGGUGAAGGAAGCUUAACUAUAAAAAAAUGAGGGUAACAUGUAGGCCAAAGACCAGCCUCCCUCAAAACUCAUUCAAUGUUCUGCAAAACAAUAUCUACAUAAUUUUAUCCUAAAAACAAACCAAAAUUUCCAAGCAACAGAAGCUAACCUUGGGAAGUUGAGCUGCAAUUUUUGCAACCUAUGCUUUGUGCCUUCCUCACAAAGUAUUAUUCUACUCUCACCAAGCUUGCAACUGCAAUAAGAUCCAGCAGAACUUGGAAUAUUAACUUUCUAGAUAAAUGAGCAGGUCCACAAAGCAAUAUGAACAAGUACCUGAUAUAGCUAGCAUAACCAUAAUACAACAACUGAAAUUAUUAGCGAUCUUCACAUCAUAGUUCCACAUUUUGUCUUCUAAUGUUCCAGAUCAGAAAAGCUUAUAUAAGCGGCCUAGCACUUGGCAUUAUUUUGCACAACUCUCUUUUCAAUGAAUGACUCAAAUAAUCAUAACUUGUAUGAGAAUCAGAUGUUAACUUAAACAGGUGCGAAAUGACAGAUAUGCAGUUCUAAAAGUGAAGAUUCAAAUAUUAACUUCUAAUAUUUUCCUACAGAAAUAAGCAGCACUUUCAUUGACAGUAUCUUUUGUAGAAUUAGCAGUCUGUUGUGGCAUGUGUUAUGUUUUCUCUAUCAUUUUCCACUUUCAAUGUUUCAAUACAAUCUUUCUGCACUAAUAGCAUGCAAAUUAUUUGGGCAAAGAUUAGGAAGCUAGCUACAUAUGCAAAAUUUUGAUUAAUCCUUACCCAACUUUCAGGAGUGUAUCCCAUCCAGGUGAUGCUUCCUUAUUGCUCGUGCACAAAGAGGCAACAGUGGUAGCCAACUGCAGCAAGGAGAUACUGUAUAAGGCUAAAGCAUAAACUGCAAGCAGAAAGAAUAGCUCAAGGCAAGUACUUAACGGUAUAAUACACAUUAGAAAGCAAAAAAAAGGAAUAUAAAGCAGAAGAUGCACGAUCUGCUUCUCUAUUAUAAGAUGAACUGCAAUUGGAUUCUAAACAUGCUUUUACAAAAGAUGGUGCACUAAAUGAAAACAUCGGAUAAAACACCUUGUGCUUGCAAACUACUGAAAGCAGUCGACUUGCUAGAUAUUAAGUUAUUAACUAGUGCUGCACAUGUGAAAAACAUACAUCUUGUUCAUCGCUCAUCGGUAUUAGCAGACCACACUGUUUAUCAAGAAGAUAUAAAGUUCUAAUACAAAUAAAGAUAUAGAAUAAAAAGUCAAAAAAUAAAUAAAUUUUCAAUGCAAUGAUCUCAUCAAUAACUAGAUCCACAAAAUUAAACCUUAUAAAAGCACCAAUAAAAAAGAGCAAACAGGAGUAAAAAUGAAUGGAAUAAUGUGCAUCUUCGUCAUAGAUCACACUCUACAUAUGAUCUGUGGAAGGUUAGUUCAAUUUAAUAGAAUAUCCAGAACUGCUACAUCAUUCACUAUCACAGGGUAACCAUGAAUAUAUCAACCGAUUUUCAUACAGAAAGACAACAUUAUUAAAAAACCAUUCACAUGAAAGAAUAAUUCAAAAAUAUUCGCUGCCACAGGGUAAACAUGGAUAUAUAACUAGUACUCUUGAGAUGUUAAGAUCAUGUUAAUUAAAAUAUAGAGGUUAUUUCAUCUUAACACAAAACAAACGGAAAAAGACAGACCUUUUCAAAGUUUGUUUCACCCAAUCCACUUCUAUAAAGUUCAUAGACCAUAGCCACCAAGAAAAUUUUGCCGAGUCUUGAAGCAGUUUUCAUUAUCUGUGAGGCGGAUAAAUAUCAGAUUUAAAAUGGUAUCAUGACUUACAGCAAUAAACUAUUUGAAUCCUGAAUAUUAUUCUUGGGCACAUUCAUGUCAAGUCAAAUUAAUAUCCACCCAUUACCAUUUAAAACCAUAGCUGUGACUAAGAGGAAAAUAUAUGUUCAAUCAUUGAAAUUUUUUACUUACUUGAAUAUGUGGUGCCUGAAACAAUUCAUGUAUGGCAGCCUCUAUAUCAGCCAUACCAACAAGCCGUUUUCCUGAAUGUAAACCCAAUGAAGCUCAAACUAAGAUAUAUGUGAAUGAUAAAUGUCUGAGAUUUUGAAAAUUGAAGUGUUAACAAAAAAACAACAAAACAUUUAAGUAUCCAAGUGGUUUCAACCAGACAAUAGACACACUAAAUAUAACCAUGUUUUGAAAAUUACAUACAAUAAAGCACUAAUUAGAUACUGACGUACGAAUUUUUUAAGAUGAGAUACUUCUUUAUUUUUUAUUUGCAGAAAAUUCAAUGCCUACUUCUCUAAGUACCUUCAAAAGAACCAUCAACAGAUUCUGAUGGCUGUUUGCACAACGGUGAUUGCUUGAAUUGAUAAUCUGCUAUUUCAGCUGCCCGCCUACAUAUCUCCAGUGCCCGUCUAGCAUCGCCUGACAUAGCUGCAACCUGAUUGUAUACGAAAUGUUAUGCAUCACAUAUAACAAAAGUGUGAAUAUUAAGCAACUGCAGAACUUAACUUGGAUGCAUUGAUAUCACUAGAUGCAUUAUUUUAGUCUAAAGCACUCACACAUUAAUGAAUAACACAUUCUUUACCUCAUUGUCAUUUGAUGCUUCGGCUUGCGUUCAUGACAUACAAAUGAAUGUAUCUCGAUGAAGUAAAAAUUAGGACUUACCCCUUUUAGGCUUAUUACUCCCAAAUCUAGAGAAAUGUUAAAGGUUAUAUGAUGGACUGGAAAAGCAUAAACAACAUCCAUCAUGAUAGCUUAGCAACUACAUAAUCUAUAAUGAAAUCGAAUAAGAUCUAUGCUUAUGAGAUCUGACAGAAGUUAUAGGUAGCGGUUGGCAUCCUAACCCAACCAUCAAGCUCCAGUGUUUUCUUACCGUCAGCCCAAACAUGGAAGGAUCAAGAUUAUUCUAGGUCAUAACAGAUGAUGUAAAGUUAGUAAGGUCGCAUAAGCAUGGAUCUUAAUCUUCCACAAAGUCACAUCAUGCUUUAUUUUUGUUCUUAAUUAGCUAAUACAUGAAUGGAAUGCAUUGUUCUAUAGUAUAAAAUGCAGCAAUCAAUGUACUGAUCAGUGUCCACAUAAUGAGUGUGCUCAAAAUUCCAUACUUCCAAUACUCUGGUUAUUGUUGAGUGCAUGCAUACUGGCAAAAAAGGAAUGUGCCUAGAAAAUGGUUGCUUGGUACAUCAAAGAACCCCAUGUCAACACCAUGCCGUCAGACAUGUGACUACUAGCAUCAGUCGUGAACCCAUAAAUCCAAGCAUUGAUUUUUAAGUAAAUUUCUGACUAAUAAGACCUCCAAAUGGUGUAUGAUGGUCAUGAGAUUACCUUCCUGGAAGCAAACUCAACAGCUUGUUCCUCAAAUGCAUCAAGGCCUUUAAGACGGCUAGAAAUGAUUUCUUGUAAUUGUUGAUAACUAUAAGGCCCAAAACAUAGCCGCUGAAUCCCCAUUCUGCUUGAAAUGCGUGGCAAUAACUUUUCAGGAAGAUCCAUAGUGUUUGCUAUUCCUGAAUAUAAUUUAUCAAAAGAAAAUAUGCAUUCAUAAAAUUAAUUGAGAUGAAAAUCAAAUAAAAGCAAAGAAAGAAGAAUGACCAUUUGAUACCUAUCACAACGAGCUUUGAUUGUGGUUUAGUAGGCCAAUCAAGAAUGUUAUACAAAACCUGUGUAAAAGAUAUAAUUUAAAGUUUUAAUACACUAUCUAUGAACCAAAUUAACUCAAAAAGAAUACUAAAAGGCUUCUUCUUCAUCCAAUAUCAAUCUUUGUGAUGUUAAGAAGAAAUAGAUACAUCAAUAGCAAGAGUUACCGAUUGGUUUCUAGUCAAAAGAAGAUCAAGCUCAUCUAUAAGCAAAACACAAGGUCGAAGCUCAUUGUUGCUGACUCCACCACCCUUGGAAAAACGUUCAUUCAAAAGAUGAAGAGCAGUUUUCCAUCCAACCCUGUAACCACUUAGUGCUUCAUAGAUUACCUGAACUUAACGGGCAUGUUUAGUUUAAUGAUCAAGAUCGUACAAUAAGAUCAAAUGGCUAGAAGAAAAGCUAAACCAUACUUUGUAAAUAUUCUCUGGAGAAGCUAGUUUCAGACCAUUAAUAUCUACAAAGGUAUAGGGCCUCACAGUUCGUGCAUCGACCUCCGACCUCAGAUUUCUCAUUGCCGCAAGUACAGACAUAGUCUGCAGUUUGAUGCAUGUCAAGUGUCAAAAAACAAUUGGACCAUCUACUUUUAGCAAACUAAACAAAAUUAACAGAAUGCGAAAGCCAUUAAGUCAAACUGCCUACCUUGCCAGUUCCUGGAACACCAUGAAUAUAAAGGCAGCGUCCUGAACAAUGAUCAUCAGAAAUAGCACCUCUGAUGAAUGCAGUUAUCUCUUCCAUUUCUCUGAUACAUAAACUCCAAGUUAUAAUUAGCCUAAAAAUGGCGUUAAAACAAGUGCAAAUUAAUCAGGUCAUGAUUACUUAGUCCUGCAAGGAAGUGAUUUGGGCAAAGUUGCUAGAAGCAACAUGGCUUUGGCCUUCUCCAAAUCAGUCUGCUUAGAGCAUCGUGCAUGUUCAGGAAUUCUUUUUAUACCAAUCUUUUGAAGACCAAAUGUCCUUCCCUUGCGUAUGUUCUGAAAGAUAAAUAUAGAGUAAAUCAUCUGAAUAGUAUCCCGAAACAGUUAGGGUAAAUUUGAAAAAAAACAUACGGCUGCUGACUCAUGUCUCCUCUGAGCAGAAUGGUUCACCCUAGCAAGUUCUUCACACUCCGAAUCUUCAUCUGUAUCAGGAUCCUUGGAAAUUUUCCAAUCUUCAUCACUUUCAACUCCUUUGUCAUUCUAACAUGAGAUAAAUAAAAGAAGCUCAAGCUUCGUACAUGCUAAUAACAGUCAAGUUUUCUCCAGAAUGUCUACUUUAUUCCAAGAUCAAGCAUACCUCAAUGGCAUCAUCAAUAUCUGUUAGACGCUUGAAGUUGUGCCAGUGAAUGUCAUACUCAUAUUCACAAUAAAAUACAUCAUCUCCCUCAUUGCUGGCUUCUUUAUAGUUGUUUGGACUCAUAACAUAGCAAUGCCGAAGGACAGACUCGAUCUGCAGACAACCAGAGUUUCAGGUCCUUAGAACAAACAAAUAGUAAUUAAUCCAUGUCAUAAGAAGAUUUAUCAUCCAAAAUACAUAUUGAAAAGAAAACAUGAUUGUUUAAAAAAUGAUAAAAUAUUAUAAAAGUUAACAUGGUGGAAUUUUUGGGGCUCAAGUGCAGAACAACUAGUGAUUUGACUAGGAUCAAGUAUAUUGAGUCCAGGUAGCAUCUCCAACUUUGUAGGACGCCAAUAUUCUUCUUGUUCUACAUUGCAAAAUUGGGCUUGAUUUGAUCGUAAUUUACUUUUGAUACUGGCAUUCAAUCACUCAUAAAUUUUGGUUUAUUAACUGGAUAUGACAUUCCACCAGAUCAUUUUGCCCCCUAGUCAAAAUCCACUAGAAAUUGAGUUGCUUUCUAAGCCAAAAAAUCAUUCUAAUAUGGCAGAAGGAAUCGAUAGAUUUAAUUAAGUAUGAUUGUUUGGGGUGGUCCUUAGAAAUCUUGUUGCAAUUCAGAAUAGAUAAGAGAUUGUGAGUCAUUUUUAGUUUGUCAAUGGAUUUCCAUUUUGGGUUAUUGAAAAAUCUCUUUUCUAGCUAGCGCUAUGUGUAUGUAUUCAUUUUAGAUUUCGUCAGGAAUAUAGAGAUGGACCCAACUGAAGGAAGCAGCAAUAGCAUUAACCAGGCAAGAUAUCAAAAGAAAGAAAGGGCAGAGGAGUAGCAUUUUAUACCUCAAUAUCACCUAAAUCAUUUGUACGGUAUAGUUCCCUCCGCAGGUUAUGUGGCUGCCUCCCAACUGCAGUCUCUUCAGGAAUUAUGUACCACCGACAUUUUAGCCAAUAGGUACCAUCUGGUUCUCUCCACAAGCUGCUCAAAUCUCACAAAAAACAGAAUGCUAUCACUUAAUUUGACAAGCACUAAAUAGCAGUUUAAACACAAGAUGGACCUUAGAAGAUAAUGCUCAAGGCAUCAAUGGUAACUUUAGAACCAACAACGAAACACAUAUGUAGUCCCCUGGUAUCAGGCACUACCUCUCGAUUCGAGCAGCCCACAAAUCACUAGAAAGAAGCUUCUCCUUGGCAGUCCUCCUCAUUUUCCUCCCCUCGGGAGGUUUCGGCAGCUCCACGUCUAUACCCAUCUUCCGCGCCUGGCAGAACCCACAGAUCCAGUCCCCCUCCGGGAUCUUCCUUAGCGGCGGUUCCAAGCACACGAGAUGGAACCCCCCCAAGCAAUCAUCGCACUCGAUCAUCACUCUCCUGCCUGUCCGGAAGCAAAUCCGGCACUCCUCCACUUCCGGGUCGUCAUCGGCGGACUCCGGCGCCUCCUUCCUCUUCACGUACACGUCGUCCCCCACCUCAAACUCUCCGCCGUCGUACACCACCUUCUUGUAGUACACCCGCCCGUUCGAAGCUCUGGAGGGCUGGGAUCGUCUCCUCCUCUUCGAUUCCGGGGUGACAGGGGAGAAAGCGGAGGGCGGCUCGGUAAGCGGCGCCUCGUCGAUCUGCAGCGACCGCUUGGCCUUGCGGGCAGAUCUGGGUAUGUCGAGGCGGCCUGCAGCCGGGCCGGGGGUGAGAGGUGAUGCGAGGCCGGAAGCGGAGCGGUGCAGGCGGAGGGAGCGGCGCGGGGUGGCGGAUUCCGGCGUCGGAGGGACGAGCGGCGAGGGUUUGGGCCUCAAGGGAGUAGAUCUGGGCUUAGGUUUUCGUGGGGUGGCGUCCAUUGCCGCCGUCGUCGAUGAGAUCGCGAGGGAGAGUGAGAGUGCGGGCCUUUUAGGGCUUUGUUUUGGCGGUCAGAUGUGAGAGGAGAAGAGGUUUCAAAACACCGUGAAAGAGAGAAACGGUUUCCCAGGUAGCCGUUUCCCGUGAUGGUUUCUGCGAUGGAGUCGUUUCGGGAGGAUGGAAAAUGAAAAGGUUCGCCAAACGUGGAAAUAACAUAUUACCUUUCCAAAUAAUGUUAGGAUCAUUCACGUAUACACACCUCAUUAACAUCUAACCAAAUUUAAUUAUAUAAAUACUUUAAAUUUUUAAUAUUAUUACUAUCAUAAUAUUUUUAUCAACUCCGAAUCCGUUCUUAGAAUGCUUACACUUGAGAAAGAAAAAGUUCUUUGAAUGCGAACCAUAGGUCAUAAAUUAAAGUCUUCGUUCCUAAAAAAAAGAUUAUACAUGAAAUAUAUUCGGUAUCUCUUAACGCUCAUAUUUCAUUUGAGUCCUCAUUCAUGCAAAGGAUUACGCGUGAAAUACAUUCAACGAUAUCUUUUAUGAUAAUUUAAUUUACUUAAUAAAAAAUACUUAUAAAGAGCUAUAAUUUAGUUUAGUUAGUUCAAUACGAAAAUAUUGAUGUUGGCUUUAUAUCCAUAAUUAGUUGAUAUCAUGUUAAUAUGGUAUGUCAAGAUGACACUUGAGCAUCUCUAGGAUACAUUGGCAAACACACUUCAUUAUAUAUAUGUUAUUGGUUACACAUGUGAAAUGUCUACUGCGAUCAAAUUAGAUAUUAAAUUUUAAUUAUAAUUGAUCAAAACUAACUAUAUACAUCAGUUCAACUUAAAUCUAGAUUGGUAAAUAUGUAUUAUUUUCUAAAAUAAAUUAAAAGGGAUAUAUAAGUGUGUGUGUGCAAAACCAUAUACAUCAUCAGUUCAACUCAAAUACAGAGAGGUAAAUAUGAUUUUUUUUAAGUUAAAGAUAUAUAUGUAUAUAUAUGUAUAUAUAUAUAUAUGUGUGUGUGUAAUAUUGAAAAAAGGAAAUUUCUUUCAUCAUGGUUGUGUAAGAUUAAGAAUACAUUUAAUUUGGUUGUCAUCCAGAAGAGUUUAUGAACAUCAGUUCAACUCAAAUACAGAGGUAAAUAUGAAGUUUUGACAGUCAGAAGCUUUGAUGAGUUGAUGAUUGGGGAAGUAAAGGCCUUGAUGAACUCCAACCAUGAAUGACCACACCUUUCUUACCAUGCUUUGACCCACCAUUGAACAUUGAUGCAAUCUAAAAGCUUAACUUGCUAAGUUCCAAGUUUGAUUUAACUAAACUCUUUUUUUCUUUAUCUUUUAUGUAAUUUUGAUGCAGCUGCUACCUCAUCAUCUUCAUCUUCUUCCUCCUCUUCUCUUUCUGUUUCUUUUGCAGCUGCUUCCCCAUCACCUUCUUCUUCUUCUUCUUCUGCUACUCUUUCUGUUUCUUUUACAGCAGUUGUUCUUUUUGUUGUAGUAACUGCUUCCUUCCUGCCAUCACCAUCUCCUACUUGUCCUCCUCCUUUCUUCUUGGCUGUGGCUGUAGCUUCUUUUGCUGCCUCCUCCUUGGUUGAAACUGGAGGAGUAGGCUGUUGUAGGUUUCCAUGAACUCAAACAGUGGUGUGCAUGUUAAACCAGAGGUUGUAACCAAAAGCAUGCAAAAGUUUCCUAAUCACACUUGAGUACUGUCCCAGUUGAAAAGCAAGAACUUAGCAAGGAUGUAUAGACUUUUUGAUCACACAUGAGUCUAAUAUUGCAUGCAUGAAUGCAUGCUAAGUAAGCCAUUCAUGAUCACUGGUGAGCCAUCUUGUCAUGGCUGCUCUCUGCCAUAUGAUCUUCCACCCAAAUGAAUUGAUAAAAGAGAAGUUGGUCUCAUCUGGUCCAAUUCCUUGGCCAAUAAGUGAAAAGUUGGUCUCUUUGGCACUGCACAAAAGUCAUAAGAUUUGAGCUCCUGACACUGUCACCAAAAAGAUAUGUUUUAACUUCACAAGGACCAACUGAAGCUACAUGUGUUUGCCAUGGUGCCAAAGCAUGGUACAAGAGGGCCAUGGGAAGUAUCUGUUGCUUUUAGCUUACUCAAGAUGCUUCUUGCACAGGGAUCAAACUUAGAGGACCAGUCAAAAAAAUUGAUGUCAUGAACACACAGUCUCACAGCCAACACUAAGCCAGAAUUAGAUGCUUAUCUGUUCUUACCAAAUUCUCUUUUUUCCUUUUGUCUUUGGGACAGAGGGCAUCACUUGAAUCUGGUAACUGCAUAUUACUUCAAUUGUUUGCCUGAGAGAGAGAGUGUGUGUCAUAUGCUAUACAAGAUUCAAUUUUAUGAAUAUUAUUAUGAUCUUAUCACUCCCUAUUUCUAGAUUGUCUCAGCUCAAAGUUGAAUUUGUUGGGAAUGUAUAUUGUAACAUAUGAACUCUGCGUAAAAUCAAUCGUCUAUUCGUAUUAUAUAAUUAAGUCAAUUCGAUCAACUUCUUGAAAGUCCUCAUGACUCGAGAGUCAAUUUAUCGACGACACAUAUCCUAAGGAGCAUAAUUCCCCGUAGUAAGUUUAUCAUAUCGUGAGCAUCACCUAUAAAACUAAUGUCAAUGGCAAAUUAGUUUGAGAUAUAAAAUUUUAGGUUCUAAAUCUUCUCUUUAUAAAGUGGUGAGAAGAAUAUUCCUAAAAUAAAUAAAAAUCCUUCCUUCCCUACAUAUGCUGACGCGAACUCUGUAUGUCAAGUUACGAUUGAUCGAAAACAUUAAUCGUAGCACAUUUUAAUCAAUAUUAGUGAAUGUAAAAAUUGAGACAUGAGUUGUGUGAUUAAUAUAGCUGAUGAAGAUCAAGAUAUGUAAAAUGAAGAAAAACUAAAAAAGGAGUACAGCAAAGAAAAUGGUAAAGCUUCAAGUAGAGUGGGCAAGAAUUUAAUAGCUGAAAUCACCACAUUCCUAAGAUUGCAAGAAACAACUUCACCAACCACUGAGGGUAAAGCCUGAGUGACACAGGACUGACUCCAUCCAUGGCUUCGAUAGAUUGUCUCAUGGAAGCAACCCAAGGGUUGGUUUUGUAUGCAUCUUUACGUAGUACGUGGACUUGGAAGCUUAGAGACUGUGUGUGUAUGUAUUCAACUAGGGAAUUAGAUUGCAUGGCAGUCAUGAAAUCCAUGCGUAGACUCCAUGCAAAGGCUUGUACUCGUACAUACUCUAUUGUCUCAUCCCCUUCCAAAUUUAUACAUGUUCAUGAUGGCUCAGAGAGAAAGAGCUGAGAGAUUAUGUGAAGUCCAAGCAAAUGGGCUUAGCUUCACAACAAAACAAUCCCCUCUCUCUCUCUCUCUCUCUCUACCAACCUAACNNNNNNNNNNNNNNNNNNNNACAACAAACAACUACCCUCCUCUCUCUCUCUCUCUCUCUUCCAACCCUAACAUGAUUACCUUGUGAGUGAAGAUAAAUGCAUCGAAAAAGACAAGAACUGGAGUCAAAGACAAGAAGUCCCACCCACUCUCUCUCUCACUCUCUCUCACGCACACACACACACACAUAUGCACGCACGCACAGACACAGAGGUUUGAGGAGACCUGUAAUGUCCAUGUCCAAACCGUUUCCUGCCCGACCAGCAACAGCAACAGUACUCGUCCCCUCUCUAUUCCCUUCUCCGAGUUCUAAGCAAAGUUCACAGCCAUCACCAUCACCAUCACUGCAUAUCUUUCCUUCUCUUUCUUUUCUUCCAUCACCUUCUGCUUAACUGUGAAUAUAUAUGCUCGCCUUCUUCCCGGUCCACAUGAAGUGAUCCACACACUGCGGCCAGAUCUGCGAUAAUGAGGAAGCCGGAUGCUCCUCCCAGUGGCAGCACCGGCGGUGGAGGUAACAAGCUGAGGAAGGGGCUGUGGUCGCCCGAGGAGGACGAGAAGCUCAUGAACUACAUGCUUAGGAACGGGCAAGGGUGUUGGAGCGACGUCGCCCGGAAUGCCGACUUGCAGAGGUGCGGCAAGAGCUGCCGGCUUCGGUGGAUCAAUUACCUGCGCCCUGAUCUCAAGCGCGGCGCUUUCUCCCUCCAGGAAGAGGAGCUCAUCGUCCACCUUCAUUCCAUUCUUGGCAAUAGGUUCUCUCUCUUCUCCGGACUGGGUUUCUUUGCGUGCAUUCGUCCCACCGGAUACUGAACCUAAUCCACUGCGUGCAGGUGGUCUCAGAUCGCUGCGCGUUUGCCUGGUCGAACUGACAACGAAAUAAAGAACUUCUGGAACUCCACCAUCAAGAAGAGGCUAAAGAACUCCAACAACAGCGGAGAUGCGGAGACCAGAGGAGGAGCCGCGAGCCUUGCACACGUAAAGGAGCAUCAACUGCAGGGCAUGUACGUGGACUCCUCCUCCUCCUCGUCGUCUUCUUCGAUGCCUGGUGGUUUGUUCAUGGCCAACCAGUAUGACCUGCUGCCCCUCCCCGAGGUCGGCUGCGGCAUGAUCAGAGUCGAAGACAGCUCCUACUUCCACGAACCACCAACCGUAGCCCAAGCCGGCAUGGAGAAUGGGUUCUAUGGGGAUGGCCAGGGAGUGAUGAUGGUGGAAGGAGGCCUCAUGGGAGGAGGAUGCGAGCUCUUUGUGCCCCCUCUCGAGAGCAGUCAAGAAGAGACCCUCAUGAACGAUGGAGGUGCAGGGAGCAUGGUGAGCAGUGCCGACAUCAGCAACAGUGGUGAUGUGAACAAGAUCCAAAGCGGAAUGCUUUGGGAGGACGAGGACAUUAGAGUGGGGGAGUGGGAGUUGGGAGACUUGAUGAAAGAUGUCUCUUUUCCUUUCCUUGAUUUCCAAGUCGAAUGAUGGGACAUUCAUUCCACAGGUAUAUCACCUCCACAACCCAUCUCUCUUUCUUCUCCUUUCCUCAACCUUACAUCUGCUUGCCUUUCUCUUGCCACUACAUAUACAGCAUGCCAAAUAUGUUUCAGAUACAAAAGAAGAAGAAAACUCGGUCAAGCUAAUUGAUUAUGCUGCUCAAUUCUUUGAAGCCUCUUAAGCUUCUUUGUUACUCCACAAAAUCCAUAUUCACCAAUAAAGUACAGGCAACGUUUGGUUCUCAUUCUCCUUCCUCACCUCUGCAGAUGAAGUUAUGUAAAUAGGUUCAUGGUGUUCAAGGGGGAUGACAAGGAAAUAUAUACAUACAUAUGAUUCUUGGUUCAUGGAAGGUGGUUUUAGGGUGUGAUUCAACAACAUUUGCAAUUGAGGAAAUCAUAUGUACCAGUGAAAGAUAGAAAUUAAAUGAAGCAAAUUUUUUUUAUUUGUUUUUUUUUGCAUAUAAUAGAGGCAUCUAUGAUUACAAGUUUCCAGAUGAAGGAAAGGAGGAUUCUAUGAAAAGCUUUGUACUACUCUUUUAUUUUAAAUGCGACAUAUGUUUCUCACCACCAUGGUUGGUAGUAAAAGUAUGUGUGGAGUGUGGGAUGAUGACUUUUCUCAUUUGCUAUGGUACAUGGACCAAAACUAAAUGAUAGAAAGGUGGUGGGGCUGUAUGAAACAUGUUCUUGGUACAGCUCUUGAUGGCAAUUGUCAUUAUCAAUUUGAAAAGCAAUCCAACCUGGUAUUUCAAUUAUCAUUAUAAGCCAAGAUCUAAUUUUUUCUUGUUUUAGUCCACACAAGGAAAAUGAAUGAUAGGAUCCUGUAAUUAUUUGUUACACUCCUAAUCCAUUCAUUAGUAUAAUAAUUUAUAAAAUAUAUAAUUUAUAUUAUUUUUAUAUAUAAUACAGAUGCUCAGUUGUUGUGUGGAACUGUGGAGUCCUUUUUUGCCUAUCCAGUGAGAAAUCACAGGCAUCAAAGUGUUGUUUUUUGUCAGACUCAUCAUCAUGUUGUUCACACACACACACACACACAAAUAUAUAUAUAUAUUUACACACACAUUACUGUCUCUAGCUUUUUAUGUUAAUACACAUCCAGGGAGUGAUAAAUCCCUGUCAAUUAAGGGUCUUAACAGCUGAAAACAAAGACAAACAUUUCAGGGUUGGAAAGGAGAGUUUGUAUACGGAAUCAAGUGCUGAUAUGGAGAUUUCUACCAAAAAAAAGGCAGAGAAUUUGAUCACAUAUCCACUCAGGCAGAGAAUGUCAAGCUGAAGUCUCUUUAGAUGGUACAAAGUACUUGAAUAAUACAAGUCUACUGAAAAUUUGUUGCAUAAGUUACUUUCUGGUAGUCAAGCCUCUUUAGGAACAAAAAUGACCGAAAAUAAAUCAGAAGUAUAUUGUAUUGUGUUAUACUUUGGAAACUCGACAUGGGCACACGACGGCCGCAAAUAGCAGACUCAAGAGAAUCUCUUGAUGGCCGCAGCAGAAGAUUGGAACUAGUAGGUCAGCCGGUUUUACUGGCUUCCGCGUUUUUCUUUCUCUCUUUGAGGAGCUUGAUCUUAUCUUUUUUCCGUUCUUGACCAAUCU